Molecule: long non-coding RNA, 82068 nt
Filed under: Gossypium barbadense (sea-island cotton)
Lineage: Eukaryota; Viridiplantae; Streptophyta; Magnoliopsida; Malvales; Malvaceae
Description: long non-coding RNA (GBAR_LNC001069)
Source: RNAcentral
UACAUUAAACCCUUGCUUUUCUUUGUUCCCUCAAUUUAUGUUUAAUCUACGACGGUCACAAUUUGUUCAGGUACCUGGUUUAAAAAAUAAAAAUAAAUAAAAGGCCUUUUUCUUGCCUAUUUUUGUAAUAUGUAAUUGACCUACACUCAUAUAUGGCUCCUCUCUUUUCCUUUCUGUGACAGGUUUUUAACAACAGUCCUGAUGAAACUGCCUACUUUCGAAUGUUACUAAACAGAGAAAACAUUACAAAUGCAGCUGUUAUGAUUCAGCCAUCAUUAAUAUCGUAUUCAUUCAACUCGCUGCCUCAACCAGCAUUAUUGGAUGUGGCUUCCAUUUCAGCUGAUCGUAUUCUCUUGCUAGAUGCAUAUUUCAGUAUUGUUAUAUUCCAUGGUAUGACAAUAGCACAGUGGCGCAACAUGGGUUACCAGAGUCAGCCUGAACAUCAGGUGUGCUCAUUUUGUGUUCAUACCACAUAAAUGUAGAGCUUAAUUUUCAAAACAUUACUAUCAUCAUGUGCAAACGCGAUAUCUGGUGGCAUGAUUUUGAUGUCUAAAAGCUUAUUUCUUUCAACAGGCAUUUUCACAGCUUUUGCAAGCACCUCAUGUUGAUGCCCAAAUGAUUAUUCAGGAGCGCUUCCCUGUCCCUAGAUUGGUUGUAUGUGAUCAACAUGGAUCCCAGGUCAGUAUUUUCAUUGUUAUAUCCAUUUGUCUUUGAUUAUUCCCCAUUUCUGGUUCGUCGAACCAUCUUCGUGUUUAUCUUCAAUCUCUAGUUACAUUGACCUCUCCCUAUAUUCUUCCAUGCCAAGAGCUUAUUUUGGUUUUCCUUGUACAGGCAAGAUUUUUGUUAGCAAAAUUGAACCCAUCAGCAACAUACAAUAAUUCCAUUGACAUGACUGCCGGAUCAGAUAUAAUCUUUACAGACGAUGUAAGCCUACAAAUCUUCUUCGAGCAUCUCCAGAAGUUGGCCGUGCAAUCUUGAUUGUAUAAAACAGUUGAACGACGUAAAUUUUUGUACGUGAAAUUCUGUCAGUGUGGGUUCCCCCCAAUUUUACAAAUGAGAGGUCCAGUACCUUCACAGUAGUUCAUCGGACAGGUGCGGUUAAGGCAACAAUGAGGUCAUAGAGAGUUUGAGAAUAUUAGUUGAAGGAACCCGGUUUCGUCAUCGGGGACCGAUAAGGAACAUACUCGACAGAAUUUCGAUUUUGUUAUUGGUUUUGUAUACAAUCAGAUCAAGUGAGGUGGCAGCCUAUGUGUUGUAUAUAUGGAAUUUUCAGGUCAUGAAUACAUACCUCAAAACUAGGGGUUCAGAGACUUGUAUAGAUGGGGAAGGUAAAUGAAGAUGGGGUUAUUUUUGUUUUGUUUUUAUAUGUCUUGAGUUCACAGUUCAAAACUUUAAAGCAUCCAAAGUUAAAUAUGAAUUUUAUGGUUGGUUUUUUUUUCCUCUGCUUUCUUUUGAUUUCCUUUUAUUAUUUUGCAUUUCUUACUCAAAAUUCCUCAAGCAAAAACUAUUGUAUAAUGCCUCAAAUCUUAUGUAGCUAAAUUUAAAACGAAAAUAGAGUGUUAUCGGAAGGACUUGAUUGGUAUAACUUCAAUAGUUUUGAGGUGUAAUUAAAAUAAUUUGAAGUUUAAGGAUUAAUUUAAAAUGAGAAUCAUAGUUUGAGAAUGUUUGGUAAAAUUAACUAUAAUAAAAAAUAGGAUUCAGUUUCACGCACAGUGUCAGUGGUAUAACUAAUUCUAUUUCUAAUAAAAAUAGGAGAAAAAAAUUAGAAAAAUAAAAAUAUUAGAAAAGCCCGACUCCCGCUAAAAUUCAAAAAUCACCAACUGCCUCUCUCUUUCUCGGAAAGAUGAUGUUUGAUGAUCCGCAAGAACCGGAUAUCUCCUUCGCCGCCGAUCAUUAUCCCGAUCAAGAACAGGAGAAUAUCCAAUGCUCUCAAGGCCACCGCACCACCUUAUCCAUUCGCACCCAACAAGGCGGCUCCAUCUACCUCCUUUGCCUCUCUAACCUCAUCUCCAACCCACGCGCUCCCACUCUCCAUGUCUCCUACGUUCUCUCCCAACUCUCCGACGCCCUUUCUCAACCCCUUUUCCUCACCUCCCUCCUUUCCUUCCACCCUCACUUCCUCAUCUCCCCUCUCCUCCACGCGCUCUCUUCCUUCGACGAUGAUCCCAUCGCUCAACAACUCAUUGAUAUAAUCUCCGCUCUUUGCGCUUCUGCUAGUGAUUCUGUCACCGCAGAUUUCAUUGCGCAAGUUGCCGAAAAACUCUCUUCUGGCGCGUUAGCGUGGAGUCGAAGGCAGCUUUAUAUGGUAAGUAUGUGUGUUUUGAAUCUUUUGAUUGUUGUUUCUGUUGCGGAUCUGUUUGGAUUCUGAGAAACAUGUUGGAUAAAAUGGCAGCAACAACCAAACAAUGAAACACUAAGAGCAUAAGCUCUUCAAACAGCAAGUAGAAAAACACAAAGCAUCAAGAGCAUAAGCUCUCGGUUAACAAGCAAAAAAAAAAUAUGUUUGAUUGAAACCGAAUGAUAAUACCAUUUUCAUUUCAUUUCAAAAUAUAGAGUUACAAAAGUGGAAUGUUUACCUAACAAUUUCCACUAAAUUUGGCAACUUGCCAAUUAAUAAUUAAAAAGAUGAAAGCAUUAUAGCUAUCAUUAUGAAAGCACCAAGUUGCAUAUCAACUUGUUUCAAUUAUAGCUAUCAUUACAAAUAUUAAAAAUAAACAAAAUAAACAAAAUGCACCAAGUUGCUCCUUUGUUGCUUUACAGUCCAUGUUCAACACUCCUCCUUGGACUGUAGGCAACAAACACCAAUUGAUUUCCUUAGAAAUUCAAACCUAAUUGUGCCAAGAGGCUUUGUCAAAAUGUCAGCCAAUUGAUCUUGUGAGCUGUAAUGUAUUAGACUCACUUCUUUGGAUUGGACAACUUCUCGAACAAAGUAAAACUUGAGCUUAAAAUGUUUGGUUUUGCCAUGAAAAACAGGAUUUUUAGAGAUGGCAACUGCUGAUUGGUUAUCCACCAAAAUUUCAGUAGACUUGAGCUGUUCUUCAUUCAAAUCACAUAGCAACUUCCUAAGCCAAAUGGCUUGAUUCACUGCUGCAGCUGUUGCUAUGUAUUCGGCUUCAGCAGUAGACUGAGCAACAGUUUGUUGCUUCUUUGAACUCCAACUGAAAACUCCCGAACCAAGUGUAAAGAAGUAGCCUGAAGUACUUCUCAUAUCAUCAACUGAUCCACCCCAGUCACUAUCUGAGUAGCCAGUUAAUUUCAGCUCACUUCCUUUCUUGAACAUUACACCAAACUUCAAAGUACCUUUGACAUACCUGAGUAUUCUCUUUGCUGCUUUCAAAUGAGUUGUAUUGCAACUGUGCAUGAAUCUAGACAGUAGACUAACUGAAUGCAUAAGGUCAGGUCUGGUUGCUGUCAAGUAAAGUAAACAUCCAAUCGGGCUUCUAUACUCCUUUUCAUCUACCUUUUCUUCAUUUCCAAAGCUGCUUAGUUUCUCUCCCACAGCUAAUGGUGUGCUCACUGGUUUGCUGUUUUCCAUAUGAAACUUAGUGAGAAUUUUCAAGGCAAAUGCAUGCUGGCUGAUAAAAAUGCCUUGAUCAGACUGGUCUACUUCCAUACCAAGGAAGUAAGUCAUGAUUCCCAAGUCUGUCAUGUCAAACAUGUCUUGCAUAUUCUUCUUGAACUCCUGAAUCAAAUCGACCCUGCUUCCAGUCACUAAUAGAUCAUCUACAUAUAUUGAGACAAUCAGCAAAGUCUCAUCUUUGGACUUCUUUACAAACAAAGUUGGCUCACUCAAACUUUUCUCGAAAUUGAGCUUAGACAGGUAAGCAUCUAUCCUGUCAUACCAGGCUCGAGGAGCCUGUUUUAGUCCAUAGAGUGCCUUCUUCAGCUUGUAAACCUUGUCCUCCUUUCCUUGGACUUUAAAUCCAUCAGGCUGUUCAACAUAAAUCUCCUCUUUAAGGAAGCCAUUCAGGAAAGCUGACUUGACAUCAAGCUGAUGGACCUUCCACUGUUUCUGUGCAGCCAAAGCAAACAGGAGCUUUAUGGUGUCCAGCCUUGCUAUUGGAGCAAAUGUCUCCUCAAAAUCAAUGCCAAACUGUUGAUUGUACCCUUUCACCACAAGCCUUGCCUUGUGCUUGUUCAAAGAGCCAUCAGCAUUGAAUUUGGUCCUGAAAACCCAUUUGACACCUAUGACCUUCUUCUGAUCAGGUCUGUCUACCAGAUCCCAAGUGUCAUUCUUAUGGAUCAUGUCGAUUUCAGCCUCUAUAGCCUUCUUCCAGCUCUUGCUUCUUGCAGCUUCUUCAUAGCUUGAAGGCUCAACAAUGGCCACAUUGCAUCUUUGGUAGAUAUCAGCAAUAGACCUGGUCCCUCUCACAGGAGUAUCAUCUACAUUGGCAUUACUGACUUCAUUUUCUGCCAAUUCCAGAUUGUUGUCAAUCUGCUCUUCUUCAAACUGACUUGUGUUAGAGCCAUCUAGACUCCAAAACCUUCCUUCAUCGAAUUUGACAUCCCUGCUUACCAAAAUCUUCUUGGUUGAAGGAUCAAAUACUCUGUAGCCCUUCUUGCAGCUACUGUAGCCAACAAAUAUACCAGGAACUGAUCUCUUCUCAAGCUUGGUUCUUCUUUCUGCAGGGACAAGUACAAAACACAUGCAACCAAACACUUUUAAAUGGGAAACUGUUGGUUUAAGAUCAUACCAUGCUUCAAAAGGAGUUUUAUCAUUUAAAGCAUGUGUUGGCAGCCUAUUGAGCAGGUACACUGAGGUGUUGACACCUUCAGCCCAAAAAAUGUUUGGAAGCUUGCUUUGAAACAACAAACACCUGGUCAUGUUCAUCACUGUUCUGUUCUUCCUUUCACAUACUCCAUUUUGCUGAGGAGUAUACACUGUGGUCAAUUGAUGAUGAAUCCCAGCCUGCUCACAUAGCUUCUGAAAUCUUUCAGACAAGUAUUCAGAACCAUUGUCUGUCCUCAAGGCCUUAAUCCUGCAGCCUAUUUGAUUUUCUGCCAAUGCCUUGAACUUUCCAAAAACUUCAAACACUUCUGACUUUUGUUUCAUGAAAUAAACCCAGCAAAAUCUGGUCAGAUCAUCAAUAAACAGUAUAAAAUACUUACUGCCAUUCAGUGAAGGAGUCUUCAUUGGUCCACAGACAUCUGAGUGCACCAAUUCAAGUCUUUCUCGAGCCCUCCAUGCACAUCUGAAAUAACCUUGUUACCUGAACUAGUGUUGAUCACAACAUCACCUCUGCCUUUAGCUUCAAUCAGAUUCCCAUUGCCUAUUCUGACCUUUGAAGCAAAACUCCUGUCAAGAUCCUUGAACAGGCUCUCAUUUGAUGCCAUGUGAUGUGAGCAGCCACUAUCCACAAGCCAACUGCAUUUGGAUUUGCUUGUGGUUGUAGAACAUGAGGCAGUGAAGACAUGCUCCUCUUGAGCUUGAAGAUCUUCAGCAGUCUUGGCUUGUACUGGCAGAGUUUGUGACUUUUCUUGAUUUCUACAAAUCUUUUCAUGAUGACCAUACUGCUUGCAGCUCUUGCAUUGGAUGUCUGGUUUGUUCCAGCAAUACUUCUCCAAAUGGUUAGUCUUCUUGCAGUGAACGCAUGGUGGAAACCUCCUUCUACCGACAUCUUUCUUUGAUCUUUCCCUCUUUUCAAACCAAGGCUUCUUAGCUUUCUGACUUGAGCUGGAGCCUUCUCUGACCUUUGCUUGAAAAGCACCUUCAGAACUUUCCUCCUGCCUACUUGCUCUUCUCUGCUCAAGUGCAUAAAGUGAGUUAACCAACUCAGACAAAGAAAUGGUUGUGAGAUCUCUCGAGUCCUCCAAUGAGGAGAUUUUUGACUCAAAUCUUUCAGGUAAGGUGGUAAUAACCUUCUCAACAACCCUGCUGUCACUAAAAUCUUCUCCAAGGAGUCUAAUAUUAUUGACAGUAGCCAUAAUCCUAUCAGAAUAUUGCUUGAUAGUUUCUGACUCCUUCAUCUUCAAAUUUUCAAACUCCCUUCUAAGAUUAAUUACUUGUUGCUGCCUUGUCUUGUCUGAUCCCAUGAACUCCUCUUUCAGCUUGUCCCAAGCUUGUUUGGGUGAGUCACAGGCCAUUAUGCGAGUAAAAAUUACAUCAGACACUCCAUUCUGUAGGCAGGCCAUGGCUUUAUGCUUCUUGGCUCGCUCCUCACCAUGUUGCUUGAUCUGAGCAAUGGUUGGAUUUGCUCUCAAUGGUAGUGGCUCGACAUCAUUUUCAACUGCACUCCACAGAUCAAGUGCUUGGAGGUAAGUUUUCAUUUUAACUAUCCAAAUGUGGUAGUUUUCUCCAGCAAAAAUUGGUGGUGGAGGAGGUGCAAAGCUCAUGUUGCUGAAACUGAUUUUGCAGAAGCAAAACUGACUUUGUUUUGAAAACUAAAACAAAACCACAAAGGUCCUCAAAGAUAGGAUGCUCUGAUUACCAUUUGUUGGAUAAAAUGGCAGCAACAACCAAACAAUGAAACACUAAGAGCAUAAGCUCUUCAAACAGCAAGCAGAAAAACACAAAGCAUCAAGAGCAUAAGCUCUCGGUUAACAAGCAAAAAAAAAAAAUGUUUGAUUGAAACCGAAUGAUAAUACCAUUUUCAUUUCAUUUCAAAAUAUAGAGUUACAAAAGUGGAAUGUUUACCUAACAAUUUCCACUAAAUUUGACAACUUGCCAAUUAAUAAUUAAAAAGAUGAAAGCAUUAUAGCUAUCAUUAUGAAAGCACCAAGUUGCAUAUCAACUUGUUUCAAUUAUAGCUAUCAUUACAAAUAUUAAAAAUAAACAAAAUAAACAAAAUAAACAAAAUGCACCAAGUUGCUCCUUUGUUGCUUUACAGUCCAUGUUCAACAAAACAUGAAUCAUAAGAAAGAAUAGCUGGAGUUUGUUCUUAUUAUUUUCUGUGGUUUAAUACGGUGAUAUUAUUAUUUUGUUGCAUGGUAGUGACUAGUGAGUUUGAACUUGUUAUUUGUGGUAGUUUGUGUUUGGUUGCUGAGAAAAUUGAAGGAAAAAGAAGAGGAGAGUUUAUAAAUUUUAUGUGCUGCUUUCCAACAUUUGAUGUGAUCCUUGUUUUUGUUACUCAUUCUCUUUCAGUAUUAUUUUCUGUUUAAUUCUCACAGCUACCAGAAAAUUAAAAAAACAAAGUUACAUAAAACAACAUAACACAUUUCCCUUUUAAAUGCUAGUACAGAUAUAACAACCAAAUGGAGCCUUAGAUUUUGAUAAUGUUGAAUAAAUAAGGGAAAUAAAAAGUGAACUAGGUGCGAAAAUGUAUUAGGUUCUUUUAGGAUGAAUUUGGGUAGUAUUCGUGCCUAAUCUUAUGCAUAAUUUGAGAAAAUGAAAGAUCAUGCAGCAUGCUAUUUUAUUUGGAUUAAAGUGCCACUGUGUGAGUGUUCAAGCCGGGUAAGUUUACUUUUUCUUUUUCUAAGUUUUCCAUGCAUUUGGAGAUACUUGGAGUACGCAUGUCCGAAUAUGUCCCGGACAUUGGUACUCUAAUAAAAGGAGUCAGUCCAACAUAUUUGAGUUGAAGUGUGAACUUUUCCGUUAUUUAUUAUUCUGAGAAAAAUUUAGACAACUGAUCUAUUGCUAUGUUUGGCUAUCUUAAAUGCCAGCUGCAUUGCUUAGGAAUUCUUUUGAACUGCCAAAUAAAUGAUCCUUGUAUGCACAUCAGAGAGAAAGAAGCUCUAGUAUCCAAUUUGGUAGCUGGUCUUCAAUUGCCAAGGUAACAAAUAAAAGUUACUGGAUACAGAUCGUUUGUAUUAAUUGUGGCUGUUAAUUAGUUGUUUCCUACUGCAGCGAUGAAAUCCGAGGAAAGAUUCUUUUUGUUCUGUAUAAACUAUCUAUUCAAGGAUAUGCAUCUAGAGAUGGUUUAGGAGCAAAUGUUCUUCAGGCCUUUUGUCCUAGUCUGUUGCGUUUGUCAAUGGAGGCACUUCUGAAAACCCAAAGAGAUGAUGUACGAUUGAAUGGAGUAGGUUUGUCAAAUUGCUUUCUACAUUGAUUUAUUUAAAAUUUUGUGUCAAGAUAUAUUGAAGCAUUUUUCUUGAAGCAUAGCCUACGGAAACUACUAAGUUCUGUUACAUUCCAUGUUGGGAAAGUCUUAUGCAACUAGUUGACAUCAUUUAAAAGUGAAUGCCUCCAGUUUGCUUUAACUCACUGCUCUGCAUAACAUAAUGUUUAUUAGGGUCUUUAUUAUGAAUGUACUCACCUCGCACAUCAAGGCCACCUUCACAUGUGCAGCUGUGUUUCAUCAUGAUCAUCAUAAUAUAUCCUCUUAAACUAAUAAAUUCUAAUCUUGCAUUUGUAGCAUUUCUAAUGCUCUUGGCACAAAUUGGAUUGUUUGGAAAUGGACAUGGAAAUGAUAUAAACAGCUUGAGUUCUGAUGAAGCAGACCACUUAAUGCAAACGAUAGAAGAUGGACUAGAUGAAUCCCCAUUAAGCGUAUUGUUUGCUGAGGCCAUCAAAGGCCCACUUCUUUCAUCUGACAGCCAAGUGCAAAUCAGCACAUUGGAUCUGAUUUUCCACUACUUGACGUGUGGAGAUGCUUUCUCCAAACAGAUUCAGAUUUUGAUAGAAGAAAAUAUUGUGGAUUAUGUGUUUGAGAUAUUAAGAUUGUCAGGUAAGUGAAGCUAAAUCUCGACAGUUAAAUGGCAUGCAAGUCUCCUCAGUGAGUCAAAUAACCCAAAAUACUGCUUUCAAUAGCGCUCCAAAGAAAAUAAGAUUGUAGUUUAGUUUUUGAAGUUUUGUUGCAUUCUGUUUUAAUCAAAAUCAGUAUUCUACUUAACUAGUUCUAUUCAGGCAAAUUAGUCACGAAAGCAGUGUAUCAUUUUCGAGUUCUAUCAUUAUUUGUUGACCCCGUUCAUGUGUGCUCGACAUAGAAUUAUACAGGUGUAUAUUAUGCGAGCAUGGUGCCUAUGUUUGUACACGGACAUUACAUGUAUGCGUGCAUAUGUAUGUCCAUUUGUGAUAAUUAUAUCAUGCCACGAGGCUUUUGCAUUAAUGAAAUUCUACUCUUGUUAAACAGAAUGCAAGGAUCCCCUUGUCUACUCUUGUGUUAGGGUUCUUAAUCUCUUUCCCUGUACUGAGCAGUCUUUCAGACAAAGGCUUAUUAUUGGUUUCCAAACUCUGAUUCCGGUGCUUCGUUAUGUGGCUGAAGUUCCUUUCCAUCCUGCUCAAACAUUCACACUUAUGCUUAUACAAAACUGUGUUUCUGAUUGCCCUGGAAUAGCAUCAACCUCUAAUAUUGAAGAAUUAGCUCUUAUUUUGUCAAGGAUGCUUGAAAGGCAUAGAGAUGGGGAAAUUGGCAUGAUUCCAGAGACUUUCCUAUUGGUUUGUUCAAUCUUUGUAGCUCUUUUAAAAUUCCCUUCUUCUCAAGGGGCUUCAAAUCUUGCAGCAUUUCUUCAAGAAUCAUUGAAACAUGCUGUUUUAGCUUGUCUGACUAUCUCUGAGAAAGAUCCAGGUCAACUCUUACAGUGUUUAUACCUUCUUAAAGAAGCAUAUUCAUACAGUUACGAAGCGUGCUGUGCAAACACAUCUAGCAACUUGGAACUGCGAACUUGUAUUGUGGACAUAUGUACCUCACAUAUAUUACCUUGGUUUUCCAUGGCUGUUAACGAACUUGAUGAGGAAACUGUCAUGGGGGUAUUCGAAACAUUCCAUUUUAUACUGAUUCAGAAUCCUGAUGUCCAAGCAACAGAACUAGCAAAAGUCCUACUUUCAUCCUCUUGGUUCUGUUUUUCAUUUGGAUGUCUCGGACUAUUUCCUGCUGAAAAGAUGAAAUGGAGAGUAUAUCUAAUGCUCAGUUCACUUGUGGAAGUUCUUUUGGGAAAUCAAGCUGGACAACCAAUUAGAGAUGCUGUUUUUUCUCUUCCAUCUGAUCCUAUUGAUUUGCUGUUUCUGCUUGGGCAGAAGAACUCCCAUGAUUUAGAUUUGUCUUCUUGCCAAGCUGCAGUUUUGUUGCUUUUGCAUUUCAGUUGCCUGCAUGAUGACUGGUAAAUGAGCUGCCAGGUUCUUUCAUCUUAUUUGUUGCAGGCCCAUUUGCCCGGGCCCAAGAAAGAAACAAAAGAACCCAUACCAGCAGACCCACCAACUCCGCCGUUCACUUGCUGGCCGCCGCACGUCCCAUCGCUGCUCACCUGCUCCACCUGCAAAACAAAGAAACACGCAACAGCCAAGACAAAAUAAUAAAAAAAAAAAAAUGCAAAUGAAAAAUGGAAAGGGAGAAUCGGCUAUAUAAGCCGAAUAUGAACUGUAACAAAGGGGUUUUUUUUUCUGAAUCUUUUUUUCCUUUUCGACCUUUGUAACGUAUAUUAGCAGAGAAGUAUAGCAACAAAAUUUUUGAAGGUGAAUCCUUUUAUUUUUCUUUCUUUUCUUUUCGUUUUUUAUUUCGAUUUUCAUCUUCUUCUUUUUUUGUUUUACAUACAUAAAUAAAAAUAAAAGGAAACUAAAAAGAAAAAGAGGAGGAAAACCUUACCUGCGCCGCACCGGAGGAGAGAAGACGAGCGGCUUCCCCUCGAUCUUCGGGUCUCCGGCUUCAUUUCCGGGGAUUUGGCCUUAGAUCCGUACCCUAGGGACACUAGACUUAAAAAGGGGACCGAAAAGGUCCGAUUUUNNNNNNNNNNNNNNNNNNNNNNNNNNNNNNNNNNNNNNNNNNNNNNNNNNNNNNNNNNNNNNNNNNNNNNNNNNNNNNNNNNNNNNNNNNNNNNNNNNNNNNNNNNNNNNNNNNNNNNNNNNNNNNNNNNNNNNNNNNNNNNNNNNNNNNNNNNNNNNNNNNNNNNNNNNNNNNNNNNNNNNNNNNNNNNNNNNNNNNNNNNNNNNNNNNNNNNNNNNNNNNNNNNNNNNNNNNNNNNNNNNNNNNNNNNNNNNNNNNNNNNNNNNNNNNNNNNNNNNNNNNNNNNNNNNNNNNNNNNNNNNNNNNNNNNNNNNNNNNNNNNNNNNNNNNNNNNNNNNNNNNNNNNNNNNNNNNNNNNNNNNNNNNNNNNNNNNNNNNNNNNNNNNNNNNNNNNNNNNNNNNNNNNNNNNNNNNNNNNNNNNNNNNNNNNNNNNNNNNNNNNNNNNNNNNNNNNNNNNNNNNNNNNNNNNNNNNNNNNNNNNNNNNNNNNNNNNNNNNNNUCCCAUGAACUCCUCUUUCAGCUUGUCCCAAGCUUGUUUGGGUGAGUCACAGGCCAUUAUGCGAGUAAAAAUUACAUCAGACACUCCAUUCUGUAGGCAGGCCAUGGCUUUAUGCUUCUUGGCUCGCUCCUCACCAUGUUGCUUGAUCUGAGCAAUGGUUGGAUUUGCUCUCAAUGGUAGUGGCUCGACAUCAUUUUCAACUGCACUCCACAGAUCAAGUGCUUGGAGGUAAGUUUUCAUUUUAACUAUCCAAAUGUGGUAGUUUUCUCCAGCAAAAAUUGGUGGUGGAGGAGGUGCAAAGCUCAUGUUGCUGAAACUGAUUUUGCAGAAGCAAAACUGACUUUGUUUUGAAAACUAAAACAAAACCACAAAGGUCCUCAAAGAUAGGAUGCUCUGAUUACCAUUUGUUGGAUAAAAUGGCAGCAACAACCAAACAAUGAAACACUAAGAGCAUAAGCUCUUCAAACAGCAAGCAGAAAAACACAAAGCAUCAAGAGCAUAAGCUCUCGGUUAACAAGCAAAAAAAAAAAAUGUUUGAUUGAAACCGAAUGAUAAUACCAUUUUCAUUUCAUUUCAAAAUAUAGAGUUACAAAAGUGGAAUGUUUACCUAACAAUUUCCACUAAAUUUGACAACUUGCCAAUUAAUAAUUAAAAAGAUGAAAGCAUUAUAGCUAUCAUUAUGAAAGCACCAAGUUGCAUAUCAACUUGUUUCAAUUAUAGCUAUCAUUACAAAUAUUAAAAAUAAACAAAAUAAACAAAAUAAACAAAAUGCACCAAGUUGCUCCUUUGUUGCUUUACAGUCCAUGUUCAACAAAACAUGAAUCAUAAGAAAGAAUAGCUGGAGUUUGUUCUUAUUAUUUUCUGUGGUUUAAUACGGUGAUAUUAUUAUUUUGUUGCAUGGUAGUGACUAGUGAGUUUGAACUUGUUAUUUGUGGUAGUUUGUGUUUGGUUGCUGAGAAAAUUGAAGGAAAAAGAAGAGGAGAGUUUAUAAAUUUUAUGUGCUGCUUUCCAACAUUUGAUGUGAUCCUUGUUUUUGUUACUCAUUCUCUUUCAGUAUUAUUUUCUGUUUAAUUCUCACAGCUACCAGAAAAUUAAAAAAACAAAGUUACAUAAAACAACAUAACACAUUUCCCUUUUAAAUGCUAGUACAGAUAUAACAACCAAAUGGAGCCUUAGAUUUUGAUAAUGUUGAAUAAAUAAGGGAAAUAAAAAGUGAACUAGGUGCGAAAAUGUAUUAGGUUCUUUUAGGAUGAAUUUGGGUAGUAUUCGUGCCUAAUCUUAUGCAUAAUUUGAGAAAAUGAAAGAUCAUGCAGCAUGCUAUUUUAUUUGGAUUAAAGUGCCACUGUGUGAGUGUUCAAGCCGGGUAAGUUUACUUUUUCUUUUUCUAAGUUUUCCAUGCAUUUGGAGAUACUUGGAGUACGCAUGUCCGAAUAUGUCCCGGACAUUGGUACUCUAAUAAAAGGAGUCAGUCCAACAUAUUUGAGUUGAAGUGUGAACUUUUCCGUUAUUUAUUAUUCUGAGAAAAAUUUAGACAACUGAUCUAUUGCUAUGUUUGGCUAUCUUAAAUGCCAGCUGCAUUGCUUAGGAAUUCUUUUGAACUGCCAAAUAAAUGAUCCUUGUAUGCACAUCAGAGAGAAAGAAGCUCUAGUAUCCAAUUUGGUAGCUGGUCUUCAAUUGCCAAGGUAACAAAUAAAAGUUACUGGAUACAGAUCGUUUGUAUUAAUUGUGGCUGUUAAUUAGUUGUUUCCUACUGCAGCGAUGAAAUCCGAGGAAAGAUUCUUUUUGUUCUGUAUAAACUAUCUAUUCAAGGAUAUGCAUCUAGAGAUGGUUUAGGAGCAAAUGUUCUUCAGGCCUUUUGUCCUAGUCUGUUGCGUUUGUCAAUGGAGGCACUUCUGAAAACCCAAAGAGAUGAUGUACGAUUGAAUGGAGUAGGUUUGUCAAAUUGCUUUCUACAUUGAUUUAUUUAAAAUUUUGUGUCAAGAUAUAUUGAAGCAUUUUUCUUGAAGCAUAGCCUACGGAAACUACUAAGUUCUGUUACAUUCCAUGUUGGGAAAGUCUUAUGCAACUAGUUGACAUCAUUUAAAAGUGAAUGCCUCCAGUUUGCUUUAACUCACUGCUCUGCAUAACAUAAUGUUUAUUAGGGUCUUUAUUAUGAAUGUACUCACCUCGCACAUCAAGGCCACCUUCACAUGUGCAGCUGUGUUUCAUCAUGAUCAUCAUAAUAUAUCCUCUUAAACUAAUAAAUUCUAAUCUUGCAUUUGUAGCAUUUCUAAUGCUCUUGGCACAAAUUGGAUUGUUUGGAAAUGGACAUGGAAAUGAUAUAAACAGCUUGAGUUCUGAUGAAGCAGACCACUUAAUGCAAACGAUAGAAGAUGGACUAGAUGAAUCCCCAUUAAGCGUAUUGUUUGCUGAGGCCAUCAAAGGCCCACUUCUUUCAUCUGACAGCCAAGUGCAAAUCAGCACAUUGGAUCUGAUUUUCCACUACUUGACGUGUGGAGAUGCUUUCUCCAAACAGAUUCAGAUUUUGAUAGAAGAAAAUAUUGUGGAUUAUGUGUUUGAGAUAUUAAGAUUGUCAGGUAAGUGAAGCUAAAUCUCGACAGUUAAAUGGCAUGCAAGUCUCCUCAGUGAGUCAAAUAACCCAAAAUACUGCUUUCAAUAGCGCUCCAAAGAAAAUAAGAUUGUAGUUUAGUUUUUGAAGUUUUGUUGCAUUCUGUUUUAAUCAAAAUCAGUAUUCUACUUAACUAGUUCUAUUCAGGCAAAUUAGUCACGAAAGCAGUGUAUCAUUUUCGAGUUCUAUCAUUAUUUGUUGACCCCGUUCAUGUGUGCUCGACAUAGAAUUAUACAGGUGUAUAUUAUGCGAGCAUGGUGCCUAUGUUUGUACACGGACAUUACAUGUAUGCGUGCAUAUGUAUGUCCAUUUGUGAUAAUUAUAUCAUGCCACGAGGCUUUUGCAUUAAUGAAAUUCUACUCUUGUUAAACAGAAUGCAAGGAUCCCCUUGUCUACUCUUGUGUUAGGGUUCUUAAUCUCUUUCCCUGUACUGAGCAGUCUUUCAGACAAAGGCUUAUUAUUGGUUUCCAAACUCUGAUUCCGGUGCUUCGUUAUGUGGCUGAAGUUCCUUUCCAUCCUGCUCAAACAUUCACACUUAUGCUUAUACAAAACUGUGUUUCUGAUUGCCCUGGAAUAGCAUCAACCUCUAAUAUUGAAGAAUUAGCUCUUAUUUUGUCAAGGAUGCUUGAAAGGCAUAGAGAUGGGGAAAUUGGCAUGAUUCCAGAGACUUUCCUAUUGGUUUGUUCAAUCUUUGUAGCUCUUUUAAAAUUCCCUUCUUCUCAAGGGGCUUCAAAUCUUGCAGCAUUUCUUCAAGAAUCAUUGAAACAUGCUGUUUUAGCUUGUCUGACUAUCUCUGAGAAAGAUCCAGGUCAACUCUUACAGUGUUUAUACCUUCUUAAAGAAGCAUAUUCAUACAGUUACGAAGCGUGCUGUGCAAACACAUCUAGCAACUUGGAACUGCGAACUUGUAUUGUGGACAUAUGUACCUCACAUAUAUUACCUUGGUUUUCCAUGGCUGUUAACGAACUUGAUGAGGAAACUGUCAUGGGGGUAUUCGAAACAUUCCAUUUUAUACUGAUUCAGAAUCCUGAUGUCCAAGCAACAGAACUAGCAAAAGUCCUACUUUCAUCCUCUUGGUUCUGUUUUUCAUUUGGAUGUCUCGGACUAUUUCCUGCUGAAAAGAUGAAAUGGAGAGUAUAUCUAAUGCUCAGUUCACUUGUGGAAGUUCUUUUGGGAAAUCAAGCUGGACAACCAAUUAGAGAUGCUGUUUUUUCUCUUCCAUCUGAUCCUAUUGAUUUGCUGUUUCUGCUUGGGCAGAAGAACUCCCAUGAUUUAGAUUUGUCUUCUUGCCAAGCUGCAGUUUUGUUGCUUUUGCAUUUCAGUUGCCUGCAUGAUGACUGGUAAAUGAGCUGCCAGGUUCUUUCAUCUUAUUUGUUGCAGGCCCAUUUGCCCGGGCCCAAGAAAGAAACAAAAGAACCCAUACCAGCAGACCCACCAACUCCGCCGUUCACUUGCUGGCCGCCGCACGUCCCAUCGCUGCUCACCUGCUCCACCUGCAAAACAAAGAAACACGCAACAGCCAAGACAAAAUAAUAAAAAAAAAAAAAUGCAAAUGAAAAAUGGAAAGGGAGAAUCGGCUAUAUAAGCCGAAUAUGAACUGUAACAAAGGGGUUUUUUUUUCUGAAUCUUUUUUUCCUUUUCGACCUUUGUAACGUAUAUUAGCAGAGAAGUAUAGCAACAAAAUUUUUGAAGGUGAAUCCUUUUAUUUUUCUUUCUUUUCUUUUCGUUUUUUAUUUCGAUUUUCAUCUUCUUCUUUUUUUGUUUUACAUACAUAAAUAAAAAUAAAAGGAAACUAAAAAGAAAAAGAGGAGGAAAACCUUACCUGCGCCGCACCGGAGGAGAGAAGACGAGCGGCUUCCCCUCGAUCUUCGGGUCUCCGGCUUCAUUUCCGGGGAUUUGGCCUUAGAUCCGUACCCUAGGGACACUAGACUUAAAAAGGGGACCGAAAAGGUCCGAUUUUGGACCUCCGGCCGCCACACACGGUGGCUCUACGGCGGAGACUCGCCGGAAGCCUUGGCCGGGCCAUCUCCGGAGUCGGAGCCUGAGAAAAUGAAAAAAAGAGAGAGUUUUCUCUCUGUUCUUCAACAAAAUGAUGAAACCGUUUUAUUUUUAGCCUUUUUUUUAUAUUUAUAUUAAUUAUAAAACGGCGCCGUUUUGGUGGGGGUGGAUCCGCGUGUCGACCCGACCCAUUACCAGAGGAUCCGCGUGUUUUCCAUUUUGGGGAUAUUUGCGCAGAUGGUCCUCCCCUUUUUGUAGCGCGUUCAAAUCAUUUUUUUAUAUUUCUAAUUUUCGCCCUUUAAUUUGAUGUCCGCUUCAUUUCGGUCCUCGUCAUAACGCUGCGUUUUGGAGGGUGGGAAAUAUUACCCUUUUAGUCCCCCAUGUCAUUCGCGCUUUUUAAUUCGGACCUUCCCUUUUAUUUAUUUUAGAUUUUUUUCCUUUAAUUUCAGCUUUGGUGUCAAUUUGAUCCUCUGUUUCAUUAUUGUUACUAAUUUUGUUUAGUUUAUUAUCUCUACUAUUGUUAACAUUAGUUUUAUUAUUUAUAGGUUUAUUUAUCUAUGUACACGUAUUAUAAUUUUAUUAUUUAUAUUAUUACUUUGAGUAUUAUUAUAUCAAUGGUUAAUUUCAUCACAUAUUUUUAAUGUAGUAUUAUUUUAUAUAAUAAAUAAAAUAGUAUUAACACUUUGGGUUUAUUAUACAUUCGUUUCAAAAAUUAUUAUGUAUUAUUGUUUAAUCUUCAUUAUGUAUACGUGCACAUAUAUAUAUAUAUUAUUAUUUAAUGUGUUGUGACUUAUUCCUUAUAUAAUAUUUACUUUAAAACCUAUUUGGACACUAUUAUUCUAUGUAGUAUUUAUUUUUAACCAUAUUUUUAAUUCCUUUCAAAUAUUCAUUUAUAUAUUAUUUAUCUAAAAUAUAAAUAUAAUUUCAUUUUUAUAUAUUUUUUUAGUUAUUUCAAAACUCAUACAUUUGGUCCGUAUUUGCCUUAAUUGACUCGUUUUCUUUUAGUUUUUAAAUGUAGAUAUGGAUUUUAGCAUAAUGUACAAUAGAGAUUAUUGUUGCUAUGUUUGUUAGUAUUAAUUCAUUAUUUGUUCAUUAUUCUUUGAUAUGCAUUUGAACUAUAUAUUAUCUUUUACGUCAUAUAUCACUUUUCAAUCAUGUCAUAUUUGUAAAAAUCGUGUCUUAUCAAAGCACUACAAUCACCCUAUUUCAUAAAUUUUCAAAAAAAAGCCUCGUUCUCAUAGUUCUCGAGAAUUGUGCCCUCACUUACUGGGCUUCAAAUUUUUCGAUGAACUUGGAUAACCGAGUAUCCUUUUUUAAUCAAAACCCAUAAGUAAAAAGCUCAUUCUCGGGAAUUCGACACGUUGUAUCCUAACGCAUUGGAUAUGACAUGUUAUUUUCUCGAGACGAGGAUUUUAAAAAUAAAGGCAAUGCUCGAUAUUUAGAAAUUUUGUGAAAUCGAACCCUAACUUACUGGGUUUUGAUUUUCUCAUUUGACUCAGAUAAUCGGAUAUCCUCCUUAAAAUGCAUAGGUUUUAAAAGACGAAGAAUAAGCUUAAUUUUGAGGAUUUGAAAUGUUGCACUCUAACUUACUCAGUGUAACAAUUUAUUUCUUUAAAAUAAAUGAGCUUUAUCUUCCUAUUCAUUUUAUUCAAAAAGAAAGGAUCGUAUUUAAAAUUUCGACAUUAAGACAUUAAGUAAUCAACUAAGGUACCAAUUUUGGGCGUAUCGAGGGUGCUAAUCCUUCCUCGUGCGUAACCGACUCCCGAACCCGUUUUCUGAAUUUCGCGGACCAAACUUGUUGUUUUAAUAAAAUCAAACCGUUUAUUAAAAACGACCGCUUUUCGAGGUGAUCCAAUCACACCUUAAUAAAAGAUUGGUGGCGACUCCCGUUUUCAUUUUCAAAAUCCAAGUCGACCCCGUUUUCAUCAAAAAAAGGGCGUCAACAGCUUGGCGACUCCGCUGGGGACGAUAAGAGAGUCAAGCCACGUGUUGAUUAUUUCUUGUCUUUUUGUCGAAAGUUGAAAAUUCGAUUGAAAUUUACGAUCCUCUCACUGCAUCUCUUUUGUUUUGAGUUAUAUUUUGGUCGUGUUCUGUAUUUUAUUUUAUACCUCUGCGCAUUGCAUUGCAUGACCGUUGGUCACACCUUUUUAAGUGAGAGUGAGAAGCUACGCCUUCGUGAGGUUUUCACCUCCGCAUGGGAUAGUGAAUCGCUUUCGGGAUAUAUCCGUACCUAUGUCUUCGUGAGAUUUUCAUCUCCGCAUGGCCAUAGGGAAAUGUAUCCCCCUGAAUCGAACUUGGUCCGUAUGAGCCUAUAAUGGGUGAGGAUCGAGGAAUUUGCUGGUUCAGGUACCCUACUUUAGAACCAAACCACAUGUAAUGAGCCAUAGGAACCGACCUAGGUAGAGUUACUCUAAAUUUUUAGUGCUUACCUAAAUGAAUGUUGUAUUUAUUUAUCGUUUAUUUUAAAUCUUAUUCUGUGUUUAAUGCUAAUUUACUUUGUUUGUGAUUGCAUGGCAUCUUCAUUCUAAAAGAGGUGUUGAUUUACGUUCAGUUUCUUGGUAGAAAGCUUAUCAUGGAAAAGGGGUUUGUUGAUAAAGUAGAGGAUAAUGCGGCUGUGCGAAUAUGGGCUGAAACGAUGCAACGGGAGAAAGGCGAUAGUCUUACCGAAGGGUACGUGUCAGAAUUGUGGGAUUUUACCCGUAUCAGUGUAAUCCAGAAUGACCUUCGAGAAAUGAAAGAAGUCUGGGAUCAAUGGGAUGUCGAGGCCAAGGAGCUGUUCUAUUGUAACUAUGGUGACCUACCUUAUCUGCUCAGUGUCAAAGUGGACAAGUAUUUAUUCCGAGCCCUUGCUCAGUUUUGGAAUCCUGCCUACAGUUGUUUCACUUUUGGGAAGGUAGAUUUGACGCCUACUGUGGAGGAGUAUACGACCUUGCUUCGGUGCCCAAAGAUUCAAGUCGACAAGGCUUAUUCCAGAGCUGCUUGUGUCCCUCCGUUGUUAAAGAAAUUAAUGAACAUCACUGGGAUGAGCGAGCAAUGGGUCGCUGCCCGGAUCCAACAGAAGGGCGACAAUAAAUGUGUUCCUUGGAAAAGUUUACGAGAUUUGGUGCUUGUACAUCCUGACUUAAAGAAAAGGGUCGAUGUCUUCGCUUUAGGUAUCUAUGGACUAGUGGUUUUCCCCAAAGCUUUAGGACACAUAGACGAGGCUGUAUCUGAUUUGUUCGAUCGGCUUGGUAAAGGGGUUACACCGGUUCCGGCAAUACUCGCAGAAACUUUUAGAUCCUUGAAUGCGUGUCGAAAAGCAGGGGAGGGAAGGUUUAUCGGAUGCGCGCAGCUCUUAUUGGCAUGGUUCCAUAGCCACUUCUGGAAAGUCGAAAAGGUCUCUUACCGGGUAUUCUCCGAUAGCUACUCCCCUCUAGGAGAAUUGGCGGCCACGCCAAGACGGGAUGAUAUUUUAGAAGAAAAAUGGAUAGAGAUACUCCAGAAUCUCCAAGAUGAAGAUAUUGAAUGGAGGGCUCCUUGGUUAAUUCCUGAUGAGAUAUUGUACCGAUGUGGAGAUUUUGACUGGGUUCCGCUGCUCGGGAUAUGGGGAGCUAUUGGAUAUGCUCCUCUACUCGUGUCAAGACAGUAUAGAUCACGACAAUUCAUACCAGCAACCCAGGGGUUGGCUUAUAGUGAUUUUUCCUAUAGGGAGGACAAUUACAAGAAGAAGGUUCGAGAAAUAUCUAGUGCCUGGAACCAGACUCGUCGAAUGAAGAUCUUAGCUGUGGGUCCGACAAUUACCCCCGGGUAUGGUCAGUGGCGUAAUCAAAGGAUCAACGACAACAUCCCGGCGUCAAAUUCAGAAACGGCUCGAUCUUUAGAGGAACACUUACAAGUCUUGCCUUCUGAGAUAGAAAUCAUCAAACAAGAAUUCGAAAAAAGAAGUUUAGAAUUGGGGAAGAAGAUAGAACAACUUGAGGAAGAAAAAAUGCAGUUAGGACUGGAUGUGGACAUUCAAAGAUUAGAGGCCAACAAAUUGAGGAAAGGAAAGAACAAGGCAGAAGAAGAUUUGGACAGCCUGAAGACAGAUUACAAGAAGUUGCGUAAGUCAGUAAGAGCCGCUGGCUUGGGUAAAACACCAGAACAAUGGCGACAAGAAAUUCAGGAGGAAAAGACGAAAGCUAAUCAAUGGGAAAAGAAAUUUCAGGAUGCUCGGGCUCGAGAAGCCGCCUUGGGAAAGAGUCUACUAGUUUGCCAAGACGAGAAGACGGAGUUGAAGGUCCGGAUAACAGAACUGGAAAGAUCGCUUCGCCAGUACUGUAAUCGUAAUACUACGGUUGAAUUAAGGGCGAGCUUAGACAAAAUUGAAGAAUUAAAAACACAGAUAGGAGGGCUAGAGAAUGCAUUGCAAAAUAGUGAAAUCCGGAUAGAGCUUCUAGAAGAAAGUAAUGAGCAGUGGCAAGGACAAUUCCGUCGGUCUCAAGAGCAGAUUGGAGAAAGAGAUUAUAUUAUGGGAGAGGCGGUGAUUCAGGUGCGCGAAGUGGCUGAUCAUCUGCAAACUCUAGCGGUUCAGGCUGAUCUAUUAAGUUUGAAGUAUGAGUCAGAGUCGGACAGGGGCCGAGAAUUAGCUUGGCUUCUUAGAAAGGUUAAGGCUUUGAGUGUGAGGGCAAAGCCAUAUAUGUAGUCUAUUUUAUGUAAAGAAACUCUUUAUCUAGUAAAGUUUUCUAAUGAAGUUGAAUUAAAAUCAGUGCCUCUUUUUCUUUGCAUUCUCUUUCAUGCAUUGCAUCACAUCAUAUGCAUUAAUGACCAUUAAAAAAAACCUAAUCGAAUAAAAUCAUUUCAGUUAACCUGGAAAACCAACAAAGUUACGGCACCCGAGCAAAGACAAAAAUUAUGGACCAAAGGUUAGAGAAGCUAGAGCGACUUCAAAGAGAAAUGCAAGACCAGUUGCAGGCGCAAAUGAAAGAGCAAAUAGAUAAGAUUCAGCGUGACAUGGUACAAAAGAUGGAGGAGUCCCAAAAUGAUCUGGUGGCUAAGAUGACGCAAUUAUUGAAGGGAGUAGAUAAGGGUAAAGGGCCUGUGAUUGUUAGUGAAGAAGAAAACAAUGGUGAACCACUCUAUCCUCCAGGUUUCACGCCUCCACAUGUACAGACUGAGCUGCAUUCGCGGAGACCCUCUGUGUCGGUUAGACCCCAGCAGUUCCAAGGCGAUGCUUCAAUCCCAAUGAAUUUUCAACCCGGAGCGGGCUUUAAUCCCGGUGAUAGCCCGAAUAAUAUUGCGGUCCCAGAUCUUGACGAGAUGGUUGAAAAGGACAAGGCGAAGGAGGAAUUUCCAAAACAAUUUGAGGAGAAAUGGAAAUGGAUAGAAGAGAAGUUUAGGGCAAUAGAAAGCAUCGAAAGCUAUGGAACAGAUGCAAAGGAUCUGAGCUUGGUUCCGGACUUGGUGCUCCCUUACAAAUUUAAGAUGCCGGAAUUCGAGAAAUACAACGGGACUAGUUGCCCAGGAUCCCAUAUUACUAUGUUUUGUAGAAGAAUGACGGGGCAUAUUAAUAAUGAUCAAUUAUUAAUACAUUGCUUUCAGGAAAGUCUUACGGGAGCGGCGUCAAAGUGGUACAAUCAGCUGAGCCGAGCUAAAAUUGCUACUUGGAGGGAUUUAGCACAGGCUUUCUUGAGACAAUACAAUCAUGUCUCAGAAAUGAUGCCUGACAGGAUAACUCUGCAAAAUUUAGAGAAGAAAUCAAACGAAAGCUUCAGACAAUAUGCGCAGAGGUGGCGAGAGGUGGCGGUUCAGGUGCAACCACCGCUUUUGGAAAAAGAGAUGACGACGCUUUUUAUUAAUACUUUGAAAGCCCCGUUCAUCACUCACAUGUUGGGAAGCGCUUCAAGAAAUUUCUCAGAUAUAAUCAUGAAUGGUGAAAUGAUUGAGCAUGCCAUUAAAAGUGGAAAAAUAGAUGGAGGAGAAAAUAAUAGGAGGGCACCCCCGAGGAAAAGAGAAAAUGAAGUGAAUAAUGUGAAUGCUUAUGGUAGGUCAAUUACCGUGAAUCAACCAAAGAAAGUGGUUGCUAAUCAACAGGGAUCAUCAAGACAAGAGUCAGGAGCUAGGCAAACUACUGAAAAGCCCCAAUUCACGCCAAUCCCGAUGUCAUACAAGGAGUUGUAUCAGACUUUAUUCGAUGCACAUGUUGUUGCUCCUCGUUACUUGAGUCCUCUACAACCCCCGUAUCCAAAAUGGUAUGAUACGAACGCGCAAUGUGAUUAUCAUGCGGGAAUUUCUGGGCACUCGAUAGAAAAUUGUACUGCCUUCAAGAAGGUAGUAGAAGGACUUAUCAAUUUAGGUGUUGUCAAACUUGACGACUCACCUAACGCAAAGAAUCCGUUACCUAAUCACGCAGAUAAGGGGGUGAAUAUGGUUAGCGAAGGUACGGGAGAAGAAGUCAAGACUGACAUUGCUGAAGUAAAAACUCCAUUGAAAUGGGUCUGGAAAGAAAUGGCGAAAAGAGGUUUGAUUAUUUCAGAUUCUGAGAAAGGGCAUGAGAUGGGAAAUUAUUGUGAAUUUCACCAUGAAACAGGGCAUGAAAUCCAAGAAUGUGAAGGAUUCAAGGCCUUGGUUCAAAGCAUGAUGGAUAACAAGGAGAUGAGGUUUUAUGAAGAUGUGAAAGAAAUGAGGAGCAUAUGCGCGACAGAGUUGGGAACAAAGGCUCCAAAAAUAAAUCAUCCUGUGGUCAUUAUCUCCCGCCCUAAGGGUAAUGAGGUUAGGGCUCAGGUAACGCCGAAAAUUGUAAUCCAGAAACCAUCAAAUUUCUCUUAUAAAGAUAACAAAAUGGUGCCGUGGAAUUACGGGUGUAAUGUGACCAUUUUGGGAAAAGAAGCAGAAAGAAAUCAGGAAACAGUUUUUUACACGCGCAAGGGAAAAAGAUAUGACGCUCAAGCAGAGUCGUCCAGGGAAGAGAAUUGGAAGAAAGAACAGAGGAAGGGGAAGGCAGUAGAAGUUGAACCAUUGGUAAAUGAACCAAUAAAAGAGGAAGAGGCGAAGGAGUUUUUGAAGUUUUUGAAACACAGCGAAUACAGUGUUGUGGAGCAACUGCACAAACAGCCAGCCCGCAUUUCGGUAUUAGCUUUACUCUUAAACUCAGAAGUACAUCGGAAUGCACUCUUAAAGGUGCUAAACGAAACAUAUGUGGCUGACGAUAUUUCAGUAAACAAGUUGGAUCGGUUGAUCAACAAUAUUGGUGCUGACAAUUUUAUCUUCUUCAAUGAUGAUGAAAUACCAUCCGGAGGAAGAGGUUCUACUAAAGCCCUCCACGUUACUGUCCGAUGCAAAGGGUACACACUCCCGGGGGCCUUGGUCGAUAAUGGAUCUGCACUAAAUGUAUUGCCUUUGUCCACUCUUAGUCGAUUACCAAUAGACAGUUCGCACAUGAAAGCAUGCCAGAGCAUAGUAAGGGCAUUUGAUGGAACAAAAAAGGAGGUUAUGGGGAGAAUUGAAGUACCAUUAAGGAUUGGCCCAGUCACUUAUGAGGUGGAUUUCUUGGUAAUGGAUAUUAAACCCUCCUACAACUGUCUAUUGGGGAGACCGUGGAUACACUCAGCAGGGGCGGUACCUUCAUCAUUACAUCAGAAGGUGAAGUUGGUAUCGGAGGAUCGGUUGGUAACAAUAGAUGCAGAGGAGGAUAUUAUCGCAAUGAUGACUAGCGAGGCACCUUAUGUGGACAUCAACGAUGAGGCACUGGAAUGUUCUUUUCGGUCGUUAGAAUUUGUGAACGCGAUGUUUAUUGCGGAGGGAAAUAGGAUUCCAGUACCGAAAAUGUCCAGGACCACUGAGAUGGGAUUGCGAUUGAUGGUAGGAAGAGGAGCCUUACCCGGGAAAGGAUUGGGAAAAUAUCUUCAGGGGAGGAUUGAGGCACCAAUGCCGAGGGAAAAGUUUGAUAGAUUUGGUUUAGGGUACAAGCCAGACAUGAAGCAGAAGAAGAAAGAAGUAGAGAAGAGACAAGCGAGAAGAAGGGCGCGUUUGAAGGGACAUGAAGCUAAGUGUGAGCCUUUAACCUUUCCCCACAUAUCUUCAUCUUUUGUGUCGGGAGGAUUUAUUCAUUCUGAAUGUGGGGUAUCCGGUAGCGGCAUGGGAGGAAUGUUGGAAAACGUUUAUAUUAACACCAUAGAAGCAACGGAAAGGAGGGCUUUGUUGGAGAUCCGCCCUUAUGAGCCUGGAAGCGAGCUAAACAAUUGGACUGCUGAAGAAAUCCCUGUAGUCUUUAGGGCUUAUUCAGAGUAAUGCUCAAAACAUUCCUGUUGUUUGUUGGCCUAGAAACGAUACGAAAUUUUUUGUGAAAUAGGCAUUGGGCCUAAAUAUCAUUAUUUUAAUAAAAUACGUGUCUACGUUCAUCUCGAUCAGUCACUUUUUUUUCUUUCAUAUUUUUCAUUUGGUUGAUUGUCUUACAAACAAUUCUUUCAUUUGUGAUUCUUUUGCACAAACAUAUUCAUAAAUUUAUAUUCUUGGUAUAUUAUUUGAUCUGCCCACAUAGGUCUUCAGAUAUCAAUGACAUGAGUGAUGCUGCCUCAAACGCGGAGCCUAUUUUUGAGCAAGAAGUGUGUUCAGAGGGAUCCCACGACUUUGAAAAUGACGAAGAUUAUGAUGCAUCUCCGGACUUGUUAAGAAUGAUGGAACAAGAGGAUAAGCAUAUCCUACCUCAUAGGGAAUCGUUAGAAAUAGUGAGCCUAGAGGAUGGAAAGGAGGUGAAAAUUGGAACUGAAAUUACCGCAAAGACAAGGCAAGACCUCAUCAAUUUGCUCCGAGAGUUCAAGGAUGUUUUCGCGUGGUCGUACCAAGAUAUGCCUGGGCUAAAUACUAACAUUGUGGUACAUCGUCUGCCCAUAAAGGAGGAUUGUAAACCCGUUCAACAGAAGCUUAGGAGAAUGAGACCUGACAUUGUGUUGAAAAUAAGAGAAGAAGUCAAAAGACAAUUCGACGCUGGUUUCUUACAAGAGGUCAAGUAUUCGGAUUGGGUAGCCAACAUCGUCCCUGUUCCCAAAAAAGAUGGAAAGGUACGAAUGUGUGUGGACUAUAGGGAUUUAAACAAGGCUAGUCCAAAGGACAACUUUCCACUACCUCACAUUGAUACUUUGGUAGAUAACACGGCGGGCUAUUCAUUGUUUUCUUUCAUGGACGGUUUCUCUGGAUACAAUCAAAUAAAGAUGCAUCCCGGAGACAUGAGGAAAACCACAUUCAUUACCUUAUGGGGAACAUUCUGUUACAAGGUAAUGCCCUUCGGAUUGAAGAAUGCGGGAGCAACGUAUCAAAGAGCUAUGGUGACUUUGUUUCACGACAUGAUGCACAAGGAGAUUGAAGUCUAUGUUGACGAUAUGAUCGCAAAGUCUAGAACGGAGGAAGAGCAUGUUCAGGUCUUGAAAAGGUUAUUUUUGAGAUUAAAGAAAUUUCAGCUCAAGCUUAACCCGGCCAAAUGCACGUUCGGAGCCAGAUCAGGGAAGUUAUUAGGCUUCAUAGUUAGCAAAAAGGGGAUCGAGGUUGACCCAGACAAAGUAAAGGCAAUACGAGAUUUACCUCCCCCGCGCACUCAGAAGGAGGUUCGAGGUUUCCUAGGGAGGCUGAAUUACAUUGCUCGGUUCAUCUCACAACUGACAGAGAAAUGUGAUCCAGUAUUCCGGCUCUUAAAGAAACAUAAUCCGGGCAAUUGGGAUGAAGAAUGUCAGAGGGCUUUCGAUAAGAUAAAGCAGUACUUGGCUAAUACUCCAGUCUUAUCACCUCCAAGUCCAGAUAGGCCAUUGAUAUUGUAUCUAACAGUGUUGGAGAAUUCCAUGGGAUGCGUAUUGGGCCAACAUGAUGAGACGGGAAAGAAAGAAAGGGCAAUAUACUAUCUCAGUAAGAAAUUUACCGAUUGCGAGAUGAGGUACUCAUCAAUUGAGAAGUUGUGUUGUGCUCUAAUCUGGGCAACCCGAAGACUGAGGCAGUAUAUGUUGUAUCACACGACUUGGCUGAUUUCAAAGUUAGAUCCUUUAAAAUAUAUGAUGGAAUCAACUGCUUUGAACGGGAGAAUGGCUAGAUGGCAGAUCUUGCUCUCAGAAUUUGAUAUAGUAUAUGUCAGUCAGAAGGCCAUAAAGGGAAGUGCAAUAGCCGAUUUCCUAGCUAGUAGAGCCUUGGAGGACUAUGAAUCUUUGAAUUUUGAUUUUCCAAACGAGGACUUGAUGUAUGUGGCGAAUACUGAAGAAAAUCCUCAAAUGGAUCACGUAUGGAAGUUAAAUUUUGAUGGAGCUUCGAAUGCUACGGGUAAUGGAGUUGGGGCAGUUUUGGUAUCCCCGAGUGGAGAUCAUUAUCCUGUUGCCAGUAAGUUGGACUUCGAUUGUACAAAUAAUAUGGCAGAAUAUGAAGCAUGUAUUAUGGGCAUUCGUGCAGCCAUUGAACGGAACAUCAAAGUACUGAGAGUAUACGGGGAUUCAGCGUUGGUGAUAUACCAACUCAAAGGGGAGUGGGAGACUAGAGAUCCUAAGCUAAUUGGUUAUAGAAAACUAGUUCUUGAAUUGGCUGAGGAGUUUGACGAUAUCACCUUCUAUUACCUCCCACGUGAGGAAAACCAAAUGGCUGAUGCAUUAGCUACUCUAGCUUCGAUGAUUCAGGUGAAUAGACUUGAGGCAAUGAGGCCUGUUCAGAUGAGUAUCUCUGAGACCCCGGCUAAUUGUUGCAAUAUUGAGGAGGAGGGAAAAGAUGAUUGUCCUUGGUAUCGGAGUAUCUUACAAUAUGUGAAGAAUCGGGAAUACCCUGAUCAAGCGACAGAGAAUGACAAAAGAACUCUUAGAAAGAUAGCCAUUGAAUAUGUCUUAGAUGGAGAAGUGUUAUAUAAAAGAAGGAAGGAUCAAGUACUGUUAAGAUGUGUAGAUGCGGUAGAAGCCAAGAAAAUUUUGGAAGAAGUCCAUGAGGGUAUUUGUGGGACGCACGCCAGUGGUUUCACGAUGGCCAGACAGAUCAUGAGAUUUGGGUACUAUUGGCCCACCAUGGAAGGAGAUUGCAUUGAUCAUGCCAGGAAGUGCCACAAAUGCCAAAUUUACGGAGACAAAAUACACGCGCCUCCUUCACCUCUUCACAUCAUGACCUCUCCUUGGCCGUUUUCCAUGUGGGGUAUGGAUGUUAUUGGGCCAAUAUCACCAAAGGCUUCUAAUGGGCAUCGCUUCAUCUUCGUAGUAAUUGAUUACUUUACCAAGUGGGUGGAGGCUGCUUCAUAUGCAAAUGUCACAAAAGCAGUAGUCAGCAAAUUCUUGAAGAAGGAGAUCAUUUGUCGAUAUGGGAUGCCUGAGAGGAUCAUAUCCGACAACGCGAUGAACUUGAAUAAUAGCACAAUAGCUGAAGUUUGUAGCAAAUUUAAAAUUAAGCAUCAUAACUCAUCGCCGUAUCGUCCCAAAAUGAAUGGUGCAGUGGAGGCAGCCAAUAAAAACAUUAAAAGGAUUGUGGGGAAAAUGACUGAAACCUACAAGGAUUGGCAUGAGAAAUUAUCAUUUGCUCUCCUCGCCUAUCGAACAUCUGUUAGAACUUCUACUGGGGCAACGCCUUUUGCUCUGGUUUAUGGAAUGGAGGCAGUAUUACCCAUUGAAGUUGAAAUCCCUUCUCUACGGGUGUUAUCUGAGCUACAGUUGGAUGAAGCCGAUUGGAUCCAAUCUCGGUACGAUCAGUUGAACCUAAUAGAAGAAAAGAGGCUAAGAGCUAUUCACCAUGGGCAAAUGUACCAGAAACGAAUGAUGCGAGCUUAUAAUAAAAAGGUUCGCCCCCGAGAAUUUCGUGAAGGGGACUUGGUACUAAAAAAGAUUCUUCCUAUGCAAAAAGAUUUUAGAGGAAAAUGGAUGCCAAAUUGGGAAGGCCCUUAUGUUGUAAAGAAGGCCUUUUCCGGUGGAGCUUUGAUCCUAUGCGAGAUGGAUGGCAAAAGUUUACCAAAUCCUGUAAACGCAGACUCUGUUAAGAAAUACUUCACUUGAAAGAAAGGGGAACCAAAGUGAAAACCCGUAAAGGGCGCUUUGCUUCCUAAAAAAAAAAAAAAAAAAAAAAAAAAAACUUUGGAGAGGCUAAGGUGAAAACCCGUAAAGGGCACUUUGAGACCAAAGAGGGCUUGAGUCGAAAACCCGAAAAGGGCGACUCGAGUAUUGGGCAAGAUUGGAACAUCAGGACUUGAGCGGAUCAAAUUUUGAUCAGGGGCAUAUGAUGAUCUUGCUUUACCAAUAAGAAAGGAUAUGCAACGUCUUGGAACAUUGACAGAGUAUUGCAGAUCUCCUGAACACAUGUCAAACUUAGAAGGGUCUUCGGAAAGUUUGUACAGGGAAACUCAAGCGGCGAUAACUGGGGCACCUAGUUCUUAUGUGUAUUCUUGAAAAUACAUUUCUUUUAUUUUCUUUCUUUCUUCCUUUCCUUUGUGAAAACGCACAUUCUCAAUCCACUUCUUUGUUACCCUUCUUUUGCCAUCUUUGAUGUUUUAUUCGAGUUAUGAUCAGAGCUAGCUUCAUUCUUAUCUAUUGUUAUGAUCUUUUUGCAAACAUGUUGCAUAGGAAUAUUGAUUAACGAACUAAUAAAACUUUCAGGAAAGAAGUUUUGCAUAUUACUCUGAAAAGUUCUAAAUAAUAUAGAAACCUGAAACAGGACUAUUGUUUAGAAAACACCAAGUUUAAAGGGUGAAGUAUCUAAGAAGGAAGAGUCUAAGUUAAAGACUAUAUUUUUGGAUUUUGUUGUCCAAACAUUGAUUGAACAAAAUGACGAGAUGUCGUGUUGGUGACAAAGCUUCAAUGAACAAACAAGCAAUGAUCACCAAAUGAUAAGAAAAGGUUUUCUCAGAGAGGAAAAUUUUGCAAUUGUGCAUGAGCAUUUGGUAUGACACCUUGGGAAUGAGGUAAAGGACCAAAGAGCUUCACAUUCUGUAUCCUUGAAUUGCGAUAGGAGAAGAUUGAAAAAGCCAUAUCUUUCUACCCUUGGAUUAUAGUGGGAGAAUGAUGGUACAAAUUUUGUGCCCUAAUAGAUUAAACUUUAAGGUUUACAGUGGGGGGGCAACCAGAUUAAGUGUUUCUUUGGAUAUACCAGACGAGCAAAAAGGCGUUGUAGUACGUCAGUGAUAAAACCUUAAUAAGUUUUUACGUGAUGUUAACCUAAGCAUUAAGGAAUCAUCUUCAUGACAUUUUGCAUUCACUCAAAUGUCAUCCAUACAUAUCUAGUUAGGAGCAUUUGAUUCGUUCUGAUUAUGUCAUCCGAAUCACUAGGCACAAUUAGGUUCAUAAAAUAGAGCAUACAGGUCAUGUUCCCCAAGGGACAGAUCAAUGAAGACAAAGGAUCUUGCCUUUCUGCAUUGACAGCGAAGCAGAUCGAAGACACAAACCUUGCCUCUUUCGGUUGUGAUAGAGCUGGUUGAAGACAAAGGAUCUUGCCUUUCUGCAUCGACAGCGAAGCAGAUCGAAAACAAAGCCUUGCAUCCAUCGAUUGCAGUGGAGCUAGUUAAAGAAGUAGAUCUUGCCUUCCUGCAUUAACAGCGAAGCAGAUCAAAGAUAGUAAUCCUAUCUCCUUGAGAUUACAAUGGAGCGGAUUAAAGGAUCUUAUCUCUCUGAAGUUACAGUAGAGAAGAUCACAUCAGGUCUUAUCUCCCUGAGAUUACAGUGGAACAGACCGAAGAAUUGCAGAUCUUGUCUCCCUGAGGUUACAGCGGAGCAGAUCGAAGAUAUAAUCCUAUCUCCCUGAAGUUACAGUGGAGCGGAUUAAAAUAAAGGAUCUUAUCUCUCUGAAGUUACAGUAGAGUAGAUCGCAUCAGGUCUUAUCUCUCUGAGGUUACAGUGGAGUAGACCGAAGAAUUGCAGAUCUUAUCCCCCUGAAGUUACAGUGGAGCAGAUUGAAGCCAGAGAUCUUAUCUCCCCGAGAUUACAGCGGAGCAGAUCGAAGACACUAUCCUAUCUCCCUGAAGUUACAGUGGAGUGGGUUAAAAUAAAGGAUCUUAUCUCUCUGAGGUUACAGCAGAGUAGGUCGCAUCAAGUCUUAUUUCCCUGAAGAUGCAGUGGAAUAGAUUGAAAAACCACAAACCUCGUCCCCCUGAAGUUGCUACGAAGAAGAUAAAGGCUACAGGACGCAUCUCUCUAAAAUGCAGUGGAAUGGAUCGAAGCAACAAGACCUAGUGGACUGGAAUGAAACUACUUGAAAUGGAGAAGUACUAGAACAAGUCAAGACUCGGCAAGACCGGGCAAAAUGGGCCUUUCUUAGUCUUUGCUCUGUUAUCGUUACACGACAACGAGCAAAGAGGGGCAGCUGUUGCAGGCCCAUUUGCCCGGGCCCAAGAAAGAAACAAAAGAACCCAUACCAGCAGACCCACCAACUCCGCCGUUCACUUGCUGGCCGCCGCACGUCCCAUCGCUGCUCACCUGCUCCACCUGCAAAACAAAGAAACACGCAACAGCCAAGACAAAAUAAUAAAAAAAAAAAUGCAAAUGAAAAAUGGAAAGGGAGAAUCGGCUAUAUAAGCCGAAUAUGAACUGUAACAAAGGGGUUUUUUUUUCUGAAUCUUUUUUUCCUUUUCGACCUUUGUAACGUAUAUUAGCAGAGAAGUAUAGCAACAAAAUUUUUGAAGGUGAAUCCUUUUAUUUUUCUUUCUUUUCUUUUCGUUUUUUAUUUCGAUUUUCAUCUUCUUCUUUUUUUGUUUUACAUACAUAAAUAAAAAUAAAAGGAAACUAAAAAGAAAAAGAGGAGGAAAACCUUACCUGCGCCGCACCGGAGGAGAGAAGACGAGCGGCUUCCCCUCGAUCUUCGGGUCUCCGGCUUCAUUUCCGGGGAUUUGGCCUUAGAUCCGUACCCUAGGGACACUAGACUUAAAAAGGGGACCGAAAAGGUCCGAUUUUGGACCUCCGGCCGCCACACACGGUGGCUCUACGGCGGAGACUCGCCGGAAGCCUUGGCCGGGCCAUCUCCGGAGUCGGAGCCUGAGAAAAUGAAAAAAAGAGAGAGUUUUCUCUCUGUUCUUCAACAAAAUGAUGAAACCGUUUUAUUUUUAGCCUUUUUUUUAUAUUUAUAUUAAUUAUAAAACGGCGCCGUUUUGGUGGGGGUGGAUCCGCGUGUCGACCCGACCCAUUACCAGAGGAUCCGCGUGUUUUCCAUUUUGGGGAUAUUUGCGCAGAUGGUCCUCCCCUUUUUGUAGCGCGUUCAAAUCAUUUUUUUAUAUUUCUAAUUUUCGCCCUUUAAUUUGAUGUCCGCUUCAUUUCGGUCCUCGUCAUAACGCUGCGUUUUGGAGGGUGGGAAAUAUUACCCUUUUAGUCCCCCAUGUCAUUCGCGCUUUUUAAUUCGGACCUUCCCUUUUAUUUAUUUUAGAUUUUUUUCCUUUAAUUUCAGCUUUGGUGUCAAUUUGAUCCUCUGUUUCAUUAUUGUUACUAAUUUUGUUUAGUUUAUUAUCUCUACUAUUGUUAACAUUAGUUUUAUUAUUUAUAGGUUUAUUUAUCUAUGUACACGUAUUAUAAUUUUAUUAUUUAUAUUAUUACUUUGAGUAUUAUUAUAUCAAUGGUUAAUUUCAUCACAUAUUUUUAAUGUAGUAUUAUUUUAUAUAAUAAAUAAAAUAGUAUUAACACUUUGGGUUUAUUAUACAUUCGUUUCAAAAAUUAUUAUGUAUUAUUGUUUAAUCUUCAUUAUGUAUACGUGCACAUAUAUAUAUAUAUAUUAUUAUUUAAUGUGUUGUGACUUAUUCCUUAUAUAAUAUUUACUUUAAAACCUAUUUGGACACUAUUAUUCUAUGUAGUAUUUAUUUUUAACCAUAUUUUUAAUUCCUUUCAAAUAUUCAUUUAUAUAUUAUUUAUCUAAAAUAUAAAUAUAAUUUCAUUUUUAUAUAUUUUUUUAGUUAUUUCAAAACUCAUACAUUUGGUCCGUAUUUGCCUUAAUUGACUCGUUUUCUUUUAGUUUUUAAAUGUAGAUAUGGAUUUUAGCAUAAUGUACAAUAGAGAUUAUUGUUGCUAUGUUUGUUAGUAUUAAUUCAUUAUUUGUUCAUUAUUCUUUGAUAUGCAUUUGAACUAUAUAUUAUCUUUUACGUCAUAUAUCACUUUUCAAUCAUGUCAUAUUUGUAAAAAUCGUGUCUUAUCAAAGCACUACAAUCACCCUAUUUCAUAAAUUUUCAAAAAAAAGCCUCGUUCUCAUAGUUCUCGAGAAUUGUGCCCUCACUUACUGGGCUUCAAAUUUUUCGAUGAACUUGGAUAACCGAGUAUCCUUUUUUAAUCAAAACCCAUAAGUAAAAAGCUCAUUCUCGGGAAUUCGACACGUUGUAUCCUAACGCAUUGGAUAUGACAUGUUAUUUUCUCGAGACGAGGAUUUUAAAAAUAAAGGCAAUGCUCGAUAUUUAGAAAUUUUGUGAAAUCGAACCCUAACUUACUGGGUUUUGAUUUUCUCAUUUGACUCAGAUAAUCGGAUAUCCUCCUUAAAAUGCAUAGGUUUUAAAAGACGAAGAAUAAGCUUAAUUUUGAGGAUUUGAAAUGUUGCACUCUAACUUACUCAGUGUAACAAUUUAUUUCUUUAAAAUAAAUGAGCUUUAUCUUCCUAUUCAUUUUAUUCAAAAAGAAAGGAUCGUAUUUAAAAUUUCGACAUUAAGACAUUAAGUAAUCAACUAAGGUACCAAUUUUGGGCGUAUCGAGGGUGCUAAUCCUUCCUCGUGCGUAACCGACUCCCGAACCCGUUUUCUGAAUUUCGCGGACCAAACUUGUUGUUUUAAUAAAAUCAAACCGUUUAUUAAAAACGACCGCUUUUCGAGGUGAUCCAAUCACACCUUAAUAAAAGAUUGGUGGCGACUCCCGUUUUCAUUUUCAAAAUCCAAGUCGACCCCGUUUUCAUCAAAAAAAGGGCGUCAACAGUGGAGCGGAUUAAAAUAAAGGAUCUUAUCUCUCUGAAGUUACAGUAGAGUAGAUCGCAUCAGGUCUUAUCUCUCUGAGGUUACAGUGGAGUAGACCGAAGAAUUGCAGAUCUUAUCCCCCUGAAGUUACAGUGGAGCAGAUUGAAGCCAGAGAUCUUAUCUCCCCGAGAUUACAGCGGAGCAGAUCGAAGACACUAUCCUAUCUCCCUGAAGUUACAGUGGAGUGGGUUAAAAUAAAGGAUCUUAUCUCUCUGAGGUUACAGCAGAGUAGGUCGCAUCAAGUCUUAUUUCCCUGAAGAUGCAGUGGAAUAGAUUGAAAAACCACAAACCUCGUCCCCCUGAAGUUGCUACGAAGAAGAUAAAGGCUACAGGACGCAUCUCUCUAAAAUGCAGUGGAAUGGAUCGAAGCAACAAGACCUAGUGGACUGGAAUGAAACUACUUGAAAUGGAGAAGUACUAGAACAAGUCAAGACUCGGCAAGACCGGGCAAAAUGGGCCUUUCUUAGUCUUUGCUCUGUUAUCGUUACACGACAACGAGCAAAGAGGGGCAGCUGUUGCAGGCCCAUUUGCCCGGGCCCAAGAAAGAAACAAAAGAACCCAUACCAGCAGACCCACCAACUCCGCCGUUCACUUGCUGGCCGCCGCACGUCCCAUCGCUGCUCACCUGCUCCACCUGCAAAACAAAGAAACACGCAACAGCCAAGACAAAAUAAUAAAAAAAAAAAUGCAAAUGAAAAAUGGAAAGGGAGAAUCGGCUAUAUAAGCCGAAUAUGAACUGUAACAAAGGGGUUUUUUUUUCUGAAUCUUUUUUUCCUUUUCGACCUUUGUAACGUAUAUUAGCAGAGAAGUAUAGCAACAAAAUUUUUGAAGGUGAAUCCUUUUAUUUUUCUUUCUUUUCUUUUCGUUUUUUAUUUCGAUUUUCAUCUUCUUCUUUUUUUGUUUUACAUACAUAAAUAAAAAUAAAAGGAAACUAAAAAGAAAAAGAGGAGGAAAACCUUACCUGCGCCGCACCGGAGGAGAGAAGACGAGCGGCUUCCCCUCGAUCUUCGGGUCUCCGGCUUCAUUUCCGGGGAUUUGGCCUUAGAUCCGUACCCUAGGGACACUAGACUUAAAAAGGGGACCGAAAAGGUCCGAUUUUGGACCUCCGGCCGCCACACACGGUGGCUCUACGGCGGAGACUCGCCGGAAGCCUUGGCCGGGCCAUCUCCGGAGUCGGAGCCUGAGAAAAUGAAAAAAAGAGAGAGUUUUCUCUCUGUUCUUCAACAAAAUGAUGAAACCGUUUUAUUUUUAGCCUUUUUUUUAUAUUUAUAUUAAUUAUAAAACGGCGCCGUUUUGGUGGGGGUGGAUCCGCGUGUCGACCCGACCCAUUACCAGAGGAUCCGCGUGUUUUCCAUUUUGGGGAUAUUUGCGCAGAUGGUCCUCCCCUUUUUGUAGCGCGUUCAAAUCAUUUUUUUAUAUUUCUAAUUUUCGCCCUUUAAUUUGAUGUCCGCUUCAUUUCGGUCCUCGUCAUAACGCUGCGUUUUGGAGGGUGGGAAAUAUUACCCUUUUAGUCCCCCAUGUCAUUCGCGCUUUUUAAUUCGGACCUUCCCUUUUAUUUAUUUUAGAUUUUUUUCCUUUAAUUUCAGCUUUGGUGUCAAUUUGAUCCUCUGUUUCAUUAUUGUUACUAAUUUUGUUUAGUUUAUUAUCUCUACUAUUGUUAACAUUAGUUUUAUUAUUUAUAGGUUUAUUUAUCUAUGUACACGUAUUAUAAUUUUAUUAUUUAUAUUAUUACUUUGAGUAUUAUUAUAUCAAUGGUUAAUUUCAUCACAUAUUUUUAAUGUAGUAUUAUUUUAUAUAAUAAAUAAAAUAGUAUUAACACUUUGGGUUUAUUAUACAUUCGUUUCAAAAAUUAUUAUGUAUUAUUGUUUAAUCUUCAUUAUGUAUACGUGCACAUAUAUAUAUAUAUUAUUAUUUAAUGUGUUGUGACUUAUUCCUUAUAUAAUAUUUACUUUAAAACCUAUUUGGACACUAUUAUUCUAUGUAGUAUUUAUUUUUAACCAUAUUUUUAAUUCCUUUCAAAUAUUCAUUUAUAUAUUAUUUAUCUAAAAUAUAAAUAUAAUUUCAUUUUUAUAUAUUUUUUUAGUUAUUUCAAAACUCAUACAUUUGGUCCGUAUUUGCCUUAAUUGACUCGUUUUCUUUUAGUUUUUAAAUGUAGAUAUGGAUUUUAGCAUAAUGUACAAUAGAGAUUAUUGUUGCUAUGUUUGUUAGUAUUAAUUCAUUAUUUGUUCAUUAUUCUUUGAUAUGCAUUUGAACUAUAUAUUAUCUUUUACGUCAUAUAUCACUUUUCAAUCAUGUCAUAUUUGUAAAAAUCGUGUCUUAUCAAAGCACUACAAUCACCCUAUUUCAUAAAUUUUCAAAAAAAAGCCUCGUUCUCAUAGUUCUCGAGAAUUGUGCCCUCACUUACUGGGCUUCAAAUUUUUCGAUGAACUUGGAUAACCGAGUAUCCUUUUUUAAUCAAAACCCAUAAGUAAAAAGCUCAUUCUCGGGAAUUCGACACGUUGUAUCCUAACGCAUUGGAUAUGACAUGUUAUUUUCUCGAGACGAGGAUUUUAAAAAUAAAGGCAAUGCUCGAUAUUUAGAAAUUUUGUGAAAUCGAACCCUAACUUACUGGGUUUUGAUUUUCUCAUUUGACUCAGAUAAUCGGAUAUCCUCCUUAAAAUGCAUAGGUUUUAAAAGACGAAGAAUAAGCUUAAUUUUGAGGAUUUGAAAUGUUGCACUCUAACUUACUCAGUGUAACAAUUUAUUUCUUUAAAAUAAAUGAGCUUUAUCUUCCUAUUCAUUUUAUUCAAAAAGAAAGGAUCGUAUUUAAAAUUUCGACAUUAAGACAUUAAGUAAUCAACUAAGGUACCAAUUUUGGGCGUAUCGAGGGUGCUAAUCCUUCCUCGUGCGUAACCGACUCCCGAACCCGUUUUCUGAAUUUCGCGGACCAAACUUGUUGUUUUAAUAAAAUCAAACCGUUUAUUAAAAACGACCGCUUUUCGAGGUGAUCCAAUCACACCUUAAUAAAAGAUUGGUGGCGACUCCCGUUUUCAUUUUCAAAAUCCAAGUCGACCCCGUUUUCAUCAAAAAAAGGGCGUCAACAUUAUUCAUGUUGCAUUUUUAACAUUUGCUCUUCACCUUUAUUUCUUACUGUUAUUGAUACCUUCCGCAGGCUUGCAGAUGAGAGAUCGGUUUUAGCUUCUCUGGAGCAAUAUAUUCUUGUUAACAGUGGAGAUUUCCUCUCCGGGAGCAUUGAUUCCUUGACAAUGAUGCAAGUGUUGAAUCUUUACGGCCUAUGUAGAGGUCUUGCUAAGGCAAGCAAUCAAGUUUCUCACAGCCUGGAAGCUGAGAGGAUCUUGUUCCAUAUGCUGUGUCAAAGUGAAUGGGAUUUGCCUUCUGCAGUGAUUCAUCCAGUUGCAGUGACAUGGUUGUUCCAACAGGAGAAAAUCAGCAAACCAUUAUCAUGCCAACUUCUAAAAUUCUGCAGAAGAGAUUGCUCAGAUGGAAACAGAAUACUCAUCCAUAGGGACAAUAAUCAAACUAUAGAUGUAAGAGUAAUUGCAGACUUGGUAGCUAGGAGAGAUAACCAUGCUGCAAAGCUUUUGAUGUGUUUAUUGGUAGAGCUUGCUGAGGAAGGAGCCCAAAAUCAAGACAUUAUAGCAGUAGUAAAUCUUAUAUUAACAGUCAUUAACAUCUUUCCAACUGCCUCGGACCAACUAUGCUUGCAUGGAAUAGGCAAUGCAAUAUUAAUGGUAGUUUAUUACAAUUCAAGUCAUUCUUCUUCCUUAGAGUUACUUCUGGCCACCUUACUUCUGCUAUUUAACAUUCUAAGUACAGUGCACCAUGAAACACUUUCUGAUGGCGAAUCUUGGCUUGCAUUGUCUACAAAGGUACCGUGUCAGUUUUCAUUUUAAUGUGUACUCACGGUUUCAGCAAAUUAAUGAGUCUUUUACUUUCUUUGUAGUUGAUAGACUGCUUAAUUCCUGCAGUUAGAAAGUAUGGCUGGAAUCAUGAAGGUCUACUUUUAGUGGGAAUUCUCUCCUUGAUUUUGCAUAAUUCUUCUAGCCAUGCACUCAUUGAGGCUUCGAAAAGUAUAAUUUUCAAUGCUUCCUUGAUCUCUACCAUCAACAGCACGGUCCAGGUUGUCUCUUCAAAGGGACCUGCUCUAAUAGAGCAUGAUGAGGGAACAAGCUCUGGCGAAAACCUAAUAUUUUUACUUUUGUUAUACUACUUCACCUUAAGAUGGUAAGCACCUUCUUAUAACACUCUUCUAUAAAUCCAUGCUGUGUAAACUAACUUCUUUAUUUUCAGCUUCCAUGCCGUUUUACCAGAGGUUCCAGACUGGGAAACUUUCCUCAAGUCGCCAGAUAUGGCACAACCAGUUUCCAUAAUCAAUAUUCACUUCCAUGAUUUGUGCAGGAUGAUACAUUUUGGGUCUCCAAUGGUCAAGCUUGUUGCUUCAUCUUGCCUGUUGGAGUUUCUUUCAGGAAUAUCAUAUCAGAAAAAAGGGAAACAUGUGGAGUCACAGUGCUUCAUGGGUUACAUAAUGUCCAUAAUGACUGUAUUAGAAGGUCAGGUAUUUAACGAUAACAUUCGGGUAGCAAUGAACUGUUGCCUUUGCUUAUCAAUAAUUUUAGGGUGGGAAAAAGAACUAGAAAUGCAGGAAUCAAGAGUUGUGAGAAGUAGCUGGUAUAGACUAAUUGUGGAGGAAAUGGCUAUGUCUUUGGCAGUUCCAUGCUUAGCAUCAAAAUCAUUCAUCAAUUACCACAAACCUGCUGUUCAUCUUACUGUCGCAUUGCUAAAACUCGAGAAGAUUCCCGAGUGGAUCCGAACCGUGUUCGAUGACGUUUCCAUAUCUUGUAUAAUCGAAAACCUUAAAGUCAUGGAUGUUACCCCUGAGAUGGUGCUUUUAUUUCGAGCUCUACUAAACUCUGGAUUCUUGAAGGCAGAGCAUAUAGCCAGUCUUAAUCAUGUAUUCCAGGUAACAUUAAUUGUUUCUUUUGCCUAUCACGAAGAAACAAAAUAUGUUGAUUGAUAUUUUAUCCAGACUCAAGGGUGAAUGUCGAAUAUAUGACCGUAACCGGUCCCUAUAUCUAUGUUAUUUUUCGUAUUGUAGGCAUGCAGAAAACGCAUGUACAACAACAGUAAAGAACAUACGACAGAUAAGAAUGAUCAGAAGAGUGUGACGUGGUCAGAUGAGGUGGGAGAAAUUUGUGAGUAUCUCAUUCACUUGAUGGUAUCUUCUUCAGACACAAAUUCUGGGAACAAAAGAUUGUUUCAAGAAAUAGAAAUGUUUUUCCGCAGUUUAACAGAAGGUAGUACAGCUCAACUAUAACCUAGUUAAAAAUAUUCUUUUAAUUUUUUUUUUCGUUUUGAUUUUCUUGAUCUCCUGUCUGAGGUACUAAUAGCUAACAUAGAAUUAAGUGCUUGGCUUCAAAACUAUGCACUAAAAUAGGUGACAUAUCAGAAGGAAACAUAUACACUUAUACAUAGCAUUAUGUCUUGAAUUAUGGUGUGGGUAAUGUAGGGAAACUCAUAUUCUACUUGUAGUUUCAAGUUACUACACAAUUCAAUAGAGAGGUAAGAAGGUAAAUAGAGAUUAUAAUUUUCUUAUUUGUUUACAAAAGUCAAUUCUUCAUAAACUUUAUUAAUUACAAAUAAAUAGUGACAACUCAAAUCCAACAAUCUUAACAUAAAGAACUUACUUAACAUUAAUAUUUAAUGUCUAAAAUCCUAUUAACAUGUCUCAAAAAUAACAGAUAUAAUUAGAACUUGAAUUUAUCAAUAUAUGAAAGGUUAAAUUAUAAGAUAAUCCCUGUUUUUAUCAGUUUGUGUGAAUUUAAUUUAUCUACUUUUAUUUGCUCAAAAUUUAUCUUUCAACUUUUCUAGUUGGUAUUUUCAGUCCUUUGGUUAACUUCCUCCAUUAACUUUGUUUAAAGAAUAGAUAUAAUUACAAAUUUAACUCCUCCACCUUUACAAGUCAAGGAUACAAUUCUCUCACUGUUGAGCAUUCACUUCACCCUCUCACCACCGUCGAGCCGCAACUCAACACCAAUCCAAUUACCCCUACUACACAGAUGUCAACAACCCCCGUACAAAGCACGAUUCCUCCUGUGACCACUAUACCAAACAUGAAUAGUUUACCACCUCCCUUUCCUCAAUCGUCUACUGUUAAUAUCAUACCUUCAGCUUCUCAUCGGCUUGAACCUCAUGCUUAAUGUUCGAUCCAAUUCCAGUACCUCAUGAAUACAUUCCGAGCCCAUCAACAAGCAUUGGAUAAAACACUAUGACAGAUUGAACAAUUGAUUCUACUUUAAAAGGGAAAGAAUAUUAUAUGGACACAGAUCAACUUACUCUAGACGACUUAAAUUACAAAGAGUACAAACAAGCAGAGCAGAAAAUAAAACUCAUCUAUUUAGACCCCACUCAAGUAGAUUCGGCCAUGAACAUUAUUGCUCACCUCAUUGCCAAAGGAAGGAAUCAGCUGGUAGCCUUUUCUGUAAUAACACCAAUGUGUUCGUAUGGACAACCGAGUGCAUGCGCAGUAUUGAUCCAAGAUCACUACGGAUUUUGUAGCAGAGUGAAACUUCGCAAGGAUCCACGGACCACUACGGAUCAAGAAACUAAUGCUAUAGCUGAAUUUGCAAACACUGAACAAUUGUUAACUUUAUGCACAGACCGGAUCAUCUGUGAAAAAAGGAUCAAGAGCAUAAAUAAUCCUGACUGAUCCCAUAGGGCAUGGAUAUCACUACUGCCUCUCAUUAGCCUUUCUGCAACCAAUGACACAGUGGAUUAUGGAGCUUUGCUGGCCGCACUUGUCUUGGCUCAUUCCCUCGAUGUACAGUAUUUGCAAGUUUUUGUCGAUUCCCAACUGGUAUUUAAACAACUCAAAAAGAGAAUACGAGGUCAAAGGCAACACAUUGAUGGCUUAUCACAAGGCCCUGCAAAAACGAAUGCAAGAUAUACAGUAAAUCACCAUCAAACAAAUACCACAUGCUAAGAAAUAGCAGGUAGACACGCUUUCCAAAAUGGCUUACACCUUGGAGGUUGGACAAUGGGGGAAAUUGAUUACGAGCUAUCAUGAGACAUAAAUUACAUCAAAACCCCUGGCUCAUGGAUGACACCAAUCAUCAAUUGUCUAACAGGGAAAUAUGUAGAUAUAGUUACCUAAUCAUUCAAUUUUUGUCUUUUUUUUUGUCUUUAGUUGAAUAACUAAACAACUUUUAAAAUUGACAUAAUAAUAAUUUAACAUUAAAUAUUUAUACUUUUUAUUAAUUUAGUCUUGAUUUUAAAAAUUUAACCCUUAACAUUUAGUAAUUCAGUCUUUUUUUGUAAUUUUGUUUUCUUUUGUGUUUUUUUAUUAAUUGGUAUUAGUUUAUGUGUUAAUAGGUAACACAAUUGAAAUGUGAUGGUUUCAUAUUCGCUGUCCCCUGUCAUGAGCGACGCCACCGGCCUAAAGCAAUUCAUGUCCGCUGUUGGCGAAAUGGCACGUGGUGCAGACAUCCCCUCUAUCCCUCUUGUAUGGGAAAGACAUCUUUUAAAUGCUUGAGACCCACCACGAGUCACAUUCACCUACCCCGAAUAUGACGAAGUGGAAGUUGCCACCACCAGUGCCUCACCAUCGAACAACAUGGUUGAACAUUCCUUUUUCUUUGGCCCUGUUGAAGUUUGUUGGAAAUUGGCCUGCAUGCAGCAUGUGAAGAAGCCAAAGUGUCAACAUGCAGCCCAUACAAAUUCAAGCACAUGAGUUAUCCGGGUAAAGUAUGUACAAGAAUUUAUACACAUAAGUUACCCGGGUAAAGUACGUGUAACUGAAUCUGUUUGUUUUGGUUCUUUUGUAACCAAGUCUAUGAAAUGUGUUCUAGUUCGUUUUGAACUUAGUUUAAGCCUACAUUUGAUGUAGUUUGAUGAUGUAGGAGCUGAUGAUCAACUUUACUUAAGUGUACAAGUUUAGUUUUGUAAGUUUCAAUGUAAUAAGUGGAGUUAGGUAGUGUUUAGGUAAAGGAUUUGUUGAUCUUCUGACCAGCCAAAUGACUGGUAUAUGUAAUGGCUUUAAACCAAUGUUUAAAACGAAUGAAAUCAUCAGAUUUUCUUCCAUAUGCUCCAUUCUUCCUUUGCCUUCUAAAAAUUCUAAGUUCUAUUCUCCAUUCUUGACAGUAGCUAAAAGCUUGAACUUCAAGCAUUUUUUCUUCAUAUUUUACCCGGGUAUAAUACGUUGCUGCUGGUGCUCUGUUUGAAAUUCUUACUUUACCCGGUUAAAGUGUGUUGAAACUCCAACAAUUGGUAUCUAGAGCUGCAUUCUUAAGGGACCUGUUCUAGCAAACUUUAAAAAAAACGAUGGCUUUAUCAGGCUUCUCACCAGCUGCACCUCCAGUUUUCAAUGGAGAAGGAUAUCACAUUUGGAUAGUCAAGAUGAGAACCUACCUCCAGGCAUUUGAUCUAUGGGAGGUAGUUAACUCAGAUGUUGAACCAGAACCAUUGAGAGCAAAUCCAACAGUGGCUCAAAUGAAGCAGUACUCUAAAGAAAAAAGUAAAAAGCACAAGGCUAUGUCAUGCAUUCAGAACUGUGUUUCUGAUGUUAUUUUCACCAGGAUCAUGGCUUGUGAGACUCCAAAGCAGGCCUGGGACAAGCUUAAGGAGGAGUUCCAACGUACUGAGAGGACAAGACAGCAGCAGUUGUUGAACCUGAGAAGGGAGUUCGAGAACUUAAAGAUGAAGGAAGAGGAAACUGUCAAGAAGUAUUCAGACAGAAUUAUGGCUGUAGUAAACAGCAUAAGGCUCCUUGGUGAGCAUUUUAGUGAAGCAAGGAUUGUGGAGAAAGUGCUCUCUACCUUACCAGAAAGGUAUGAGGCAAAAAUAUCCUUUUUAGAGGACUCAAGAGACUUAACCAGCAUCACUUUAACCAGCAUCACUUUAACAGAGCUGAUCAAUGCUCUGUAUGCACAAGAGCAAAGGAGGGCCAGCAGACAGGAGGAGCACUAAGAAGGUGCCUUUCAAGCCAAAGCCAAGUCUGCCUCGAGCACCUCUUCCUACGAAGGCAAGAAUACCUGGUCAAACGAGCCUAAAGCAGAUGGUGCAGGAAGAUAUCCACCCUGUCCACACUGCAGAAGGGCAAGUCACCCGGGUAAAGUAUGUUGGUUCAGGCCUGAUGUGCAGUGCAGAUUUUGCAAAAAGAUGGGUCAUAUAGAAAGGGUUUGCAAAAACAAAGGCAGACCAAGAUACAACCAACCCUAGCAGCCAAGAGCUGAAGCUCAAGUAGUAGAAGAAGGCAAUGACCAAGAAGAACAAGUUUUUGCAGUUUCUUGUUCAGCUGUUAAAGGAAAAGCUACAGAUGGAUGGUUGAUAGACAGUGGUUGCACAAACCACAUAACCCCUGAUGCUAGCAUUUUUAAGUCAAUUGACAGAAGCUUCAAAACAAAUGUGAAGGUCGGAAAUGGACACUUCAUCAAAGUUGAAGGCAAAGGAGAUGUGCUGAUAAGCACUCUUACAGGUACCAAACUUGUUAAAAAUGUCUUGUUAGUGCCUGAAAUUGAUAGAAAUUUGCUUAGCAUUGCUCAACUGCUUGAGAAGGGCUAUUUAGUUGUAUUCAAAGGUAAAGAAUGCCUGAUUAGUGAUCCUAGUGGAUCCAAGCUCAUGACAGUAGCUAUGACAGAAAAAAGUUUUAUUGUGGACUGGAAUAAGAGUCCAGAUAGUGCCUAUACAGCUGCUGCAGAUGAAUCCAAGUUGUGUCACAAGAGGCUUAGUCAUGCCAACUACAUGUCAAUGGCUCAGCUAACCAAAGAAGAUUCGGUUGAAAAUUUCACUAAUUCAGUUGAGAAAGAAAGGAAAUUUUUGACACUCAAAGAGGUGCAUGAUAUGCAUGGGAACCAAACAUCUGCUCAGAUAAAAGAAUUAGAAGCACAUGUAACUAGCUUGGAACUUGAGUUGAAAUCAUUGCAAGCAAUUAACAGAGAUAUGGCGGAGUAGUUAGAGAACAAAGCAAGUGAAGCAGAAAAACUGGGAGAACAAAAUAUAAGACUCCAAUCCCGUAUUUCAGAACUCAAAAUAAUGUUAGAAAAGAGAGAAAAAGAAAUUUUUAUUCUCACGAAGAAACUUGAGGAUCAUAACAGUGAAUCAUUGUCUGGUGUGAAGAACUUGACUGCUCAGGAAAAUAAUCUGCUAUCAGAGAAGGAGACGUUGCAAGCUGAGAAGGCUCUGUUGAAAGAAAAUUUUGCAUUUGAAGGUGAUGAAGCAUCAAAUCAAGUACAGAGGUUAAUAGAUGAGGCAAACACAUUGCAGCAACAGCUGGAAUCUCUUCAUAUCCAGAAAGCAAAACUGGAAUUGCAGUUUGAGAGAAAGAAACAAAAGUCAUCCGAAAAACUGAAUGAAAUGGAGAAUCAAAAAUCAGAGUUGAAGCAAAUGGUCGAGGACCUUCAAAGAAAUUUGGAAGCAAAAGGAGAUGAGAAAAAUGAUUUAGUGAACCAAAUCAUCAGAGAAUGCUUAAAGAACAAGAGUUUGUAGCAUGCAAGCCAAGGAGGAGUGUUGGAAAUUGGCCUGCAUGCAGCAUGUGAAGAAGCCAAAGUGUCAACAUGCAGCCCAUACAAAUUCAAGCACAUAAGUUAUCCGGGUAAAGUAUGUACAAGAAUUCAUACACAUAAGUUACCCGGGUAAAGUACGUGUAACUGAAUCUGUUUGUUUUGGUUCUUUUGUAACCAAGUCUAUGAAAUGUGUUCUAGUUCGUUUUGAACUUAGUUUAAGCCUACAUUUGAUGUAGUUUGAUGAUGUAGGAGCUGAUGAUCAACUUUACUUAAGUGUACAAGUUUAGUUUUGUAAGUUUCAAUGUAAUAAGUGGAGUUAGGUAGUGUUUAGGUAAAGGAUUUGUUGAUCUUCUGACCAGCCAAAUGACUGGUAUAUGUAAUGGCUUUAAACCAAUGUUUAAAACGAAUGAAAUCAUCAGAUUUUCUUCCAUAUGCUCCAUUCUUCCUUUGCCUUCUAAAAAUUCUAAGUUCUGUUCUCCAUUCUUGACAGUAGCUAAAAGCUUGAACUUCAAGCAUUUUUCCUUCAUAUUUUACCCGGGUAUAAUACGUUGCUGCUGGUGCUCUGUUUGAAAUUCUCACUUUACCCGAUUAAAGUGUGUUGAAACUCCAACAAAGUUUCACUUCUUCGUAGGCCCCUCCCUCUCCACCUUCGAAUUGCACCAAGUUCGAACUCUUUAACAGCUUGCUUUUGGCGCUGUCGAAACCAUUGCUUUAAAUCUUGACCCUAACAAAGAGGUACGUUCAAAAUUUUAUCCUUCAUUGCGAUGUUAUGGAAUGGUUGUCUCCCCAGCAGCAGUAAAAACCUCUGCCACAAUCCAUUAGGGUAUAUAGUAGAAUAAAUAAAGCAAGCAAAAGCAAGUAUGACACUGGAAUAUGUGAAAUCAUUGGCAGCUUUAAUUGUGAUUAGGGGUAAACGACUCCAUUUUCCGGAUGAUGUCGAGUCGUAUGUGAUAUCCGAUAACAAACAUCAAAUUCGAAGAUGUCGAUUUCGGAUGGGGUAAGGCAGUUUUUGGAGGGCUAACAAAAGCCAUUGGAAUGAUCAACUUUUUUCAUACCAACUAAGACUAAGAAAGGAGAAAGGAGAAGUUGGAACUUUGGUACCAAUUUGUUUACCAGCUCCAGCCAUUGAAAGGUUUGCCAAUGAAUUGGACAACAUGUUGAAACACUAACAAAAUGAGGGUAAGAUGAAUAAAUUCUAUGUAAUAGUGUAAGGAUGAGUCCUGAGAGUAGUAAGGUUGAGGAAAAAUUAAUCGAAAAUCAAUUCGAAUUAUAGUGUUAAAUUGUUUUUUGGUCCAAUUUUUAUUGAAUUUGGUUCAGGUAUUAGUUAAAUAAAUUUGGUUAAACUACAAUUAUUCAAACAUAAUGGAAUCGUAUUAUUUUCCCUUUCUCCAGCAAGACAAUAAAAUUAUAUUAUGACAAAUUAUUAGAACCUUUUAAAAAUAAAUGUAGUGAUUUAAUAUUAUUUCUAUACUCAAAUGGGAAUCCUUUUAGGUAGCGUUUGUUUUAAGGUUUUAAGACGUUUAGUUGACAUUAAUCUUAUUAGUUUCAUUAUUUUGAAUGUGUCUUAAAGAGGAAAUAAGUUGCCAAAAAGUUCCAAAGCUAAAGAAAAAUUGAAGGUGGUUGAGGAUUCAUCAGAGUUGAAGUCAUUAUAGUUCCGGUCAGGCCUAACUCUGAGAUUGUUUGAGAGUGCUGUUGCUCAGGGACUAAAAUUGAAAGGAGCUCAAAAAAAAUAUUUUUUCAGUUUUAAUGUAGUGAAAAAAUUUUCAGAUUAAAAUAAAUUAAUUAAAUGUCUAAGGUUUUAAAUUUCUCCUAAGAUCCAAAAAAAAAAAUUCAACUUUUAUUGUAUUAUAUUUUAUAAUUUUUUUAAAAGGCUCAAUUUAUUGUUUUGCUUAGGCCUAAAAAUGUCAAGAACGGGUCUGAUACGGAUUAUCAAUAUGUGUUCUCUAAAUUCUAAAAUAUCCUAUAAUGUUUGCUGAAUUGCUUGCUUGUGUGUUUAGGUUCAUAUUGAUUGUUAAAUAUUGGUGAUAAUGUUCAUAUCAUGUGUUUAAAGUGUGAAGUAUUAGUCUAAAUUGAUAUAGGAUAUAAUUUCUAAUACAAUUGCCUUUAUAAACGUUGUCAGAAGGUUGUUCAGGUACAAUUGGUAUACCAUAUAAGGUUUGCUUGGUGGGGACAGAAGUACAGAAAGAUUGUGCUUUGUGCAUUACAGAGUUUGAUUGAUUAAGUCAUGUUAUGCAUAUCCAUUUUAACUUGAGGACAUAGAUGUACGGUACAAACCUUGCAACCCCAAACCUUUCCUUCUCCUUGGCCCAAAAUUUAAAAGACAAGUUUGGAUUUGAAACAGUUGUUUAAGAGAUUAACUCAUUGUUGCAUAUGUCAAAACCAACCUGUCUCUAGCUUCCUUCUCCAGUGGCGAGUUGAUGGGCAAAUUUGGUUAACACUGUUAAGGAAUCUAAGUUACUUUAUCUCAUCCCACUAAAAAUAUAAAAAGGAUGUUCUAUAUUGUUUUUGUUAAUAGUAUAUUUAUAUUCUGGAAUAGUUUAUUGUUUUUUAACUUAUUUUUGGUAGAGUUGGAUAUAUUUAGAGUAGUGAUUAAAAUUCUAGUCUGAUAUCUGAUGUGAUUUAAACUCUGUAAUCUCCUUCUCAAUCCUCUAAUAUUGUAUUGAUAUUAAAAAAAAAAAACAGUCUUUGGUAGAUGAACUCUUUCAAACAAAGUAUCAAACCUCAUUGAAGUAACAUUUAUAAGAAUCUCGUCCACUCAAGCAAAGUAUCAAUGUAGUCUAAAGGAACUCGCUAAAAGAAAUAUAUGAAAAUAGAUUUAGAGUCUUUCUUUUUCAAAUAUUCGCUUUACUUUGAUUAUCAUGGGAAUUACCAGAAAAUUUUAAAAUAUAUUUAAAAAUUCAUAAAAUAUUUAUGAAAAUUUCAAUAAUAUAUAAAAAGAAUUAAAUGAUUUUUUUAAAAUUUGUUUCAUACAUAACUUUUCUUUUUGUGAAACUCAUAAUAUUUGUGCAUGUAAGUUCUUGAUGCAGAACAAUACCAAAAAGAUUGGAAAUCAAUAUUCAUUGUGUAAUCCACAAAGCAAAGCAAGGAAUAAAGUGAAAAUUUGGUAUUCUUCUUUUAAUUUUAUCCAUUGUUGUCAAAUUUAAGAAUUAAAGUAGAAACCACCCAAUUCCAUUACAUCCCAUUCUUGGCUUUUAUAAAUUAAGAUUGAAUUAUAAAAAGAGAAAAAGUGGAAGCCAAAUAACAAAAGCCAUGUAAUAAAAAAUAUAUAAUAUUUUGAAAUAUUAUUUAAAAUACCCUCAUAAUUUUACAAUAAUGGUUUGUCUUCUAGUUUACUGAACUUUUUAACUUUAUUAUUAAGAAAAUAAUUAAAAAAAAAGAGUUAAGAAAUACAAACAAAUAAAAGAAACCCACUAAAAUGAAGUAUGAAAGCAAAGACAGAUUAAAAGCAAUAUACUAAGAUAGUUUUGGAGUCUCUCUCUUUCAAAUUUCUACUUUACUUCCAACAUUCACCUUCUGUUUUUUUCUUCCUACGUCGACGGAAAAAACCAAAGAGGAAGGAGAAAUGGAGGAGUCACAGAAUUAUGGUCACCAACAUCCCUUGCUUCUUCUUUUGAAUGAAGAUCAGCCGAUUGUAGCUAACUGCUCUUGGUGUGGAGAGAAGGUGUCAACUCCAUGUUUUAGCUGUGCCCAGGAUUGUGGGUUUUAUCUUCACAAGGUAUGUGCCGAGGCACAUUUGGAGCUUAAUCAUCCUUUUCAUCCUCAUCAUCCUCUUCUUCUUAUGCAAAAGGCACCUUAUUCAUUGGGAAUGUACCUCUGUAAUUUUUGCUAUGAAGCGGUUAAUGAGUUUUUUUAUCACUGCUCUGUUGAAGCCGUGGCCUGCAUUGCAACAAAGAACCAGUAGCAGAAAAUUGAUCAAAGACCAGCAGCAACGAAUUGUAUAAUUUGAGCUGCUACACUAUUUUAAAGUAAAGUAAUGAAGCUGGUUCUCUUGGAAGAUCACAUUUUAGAUGUUUUGUUCCUAUGGAACUUUGUUCAAUUCUUUUGUAUUUUGACAGCAAAGUCAGUAGGAAAAUUGACUGAUGUAAUAGCUGGUAUGCCAGCCUUCUUUUGUAAUCAACUUGCAUUAUUUUAGUAUGUAUUAAGUAAGGGCAGUUAAGUUAGUAGGUAACUGUCAAACAUUACUUGUAACUCCCAUAUAUUCAAAAAUUUGAAUGAAAAAUAUAUGACUUUAGUUGCAAAAUUUUCUUGCUGAGUUCUCUUCUUUGUUUUUUUUUUUCAUUCGUUUUUGCUUUCUUUGUUACUGCCAUUUUAUCCAACAAAUGGUAUCAAGAGCUUUCAGUCUUUGAGGGCCUUGGUUGUACACUGUCAUUAAGCAAAUCGUGUUUGAAACAAAAGAAGAAGAGGUUGUUUUGCUUGCUGAAAAAUGAGUUUUACACCACCUCCUCCACCUGUCUUUGCUGGAGAAAAUUACAACAUCUGGGCAGUGAAAAUGAGAACAUACCUGCAGGCACACGACUUGUGGAAUGUUGUUCUCAAUGACACUGAGCCACCACCACUAAGAGCCAACCCGACUAUAGCCCAGAUUAGGCAGCACAAUGAAGACUGUGCCAAGAAGUAUAAGGCUAUGUCGUACCUUCAAAGUGGAGUUUCUGAUGUUAUUUUCACAAGAAUAAUGGCUUGUGACACUCCAAAGCAGGCCUGGGACAAACUCAAGGAGGAGUUUCAGGGGUCUGACAAGACCAGGCAACAGCAGCUGAUCAACAUGAGAAGAGAUUUUGAAAAUCUCAAAAUGAAGGACUCAGAAACCAUCAAGCAGUAUGCUGACAGAAUCAUGGCUACUGUCAACAACAUAAGGCUGCUUGGGGAAGAAUUCAGUGACCAAAGAGUGGUUGAGAAGGUCAUAACAACCUUGCCAGAGAAGUAUGAAGCAAAAAUUUCUUCUCUGGAAGAUUCAAGGGACUUGUCAACAAUCCCUUUGACAGAGCUUAUAAAUGCUCUCUAUGCUCAAGAGCAGAGAAGGGCAAAUAGGCAGGAGGACCACUAUGAAGGAGCUUUUCAGGCUAGAAGCAGAGAAAGCUCAAGUGCAAACUUAAAUGCCAAAGGCAAGAAGCCCUGGACUGAGAAGAAGAAGAAAGAACCUGUCAAAAGGAAGUUCCCACCUUGUGUCCAUUGCAAGAAGACUACUCAUCUUGAGAAAUACUGCUGGUACAGACCAGACAUUCAAUGUAGAGCCUGCAAGCAAUUUGGCCACAUUGAAAAGGUCUGUAAGAGCAAGCCAAAACCACAACCACAAUUUCAAAGCCAAGCUCAAGCUGCAGAAGAGGUUGAAUCACCAGAAGAGCAUGUCUUUUCAGCAUCAUGCUUUGCAAGCUCGAGCAAAUUUAGUAAAAUAUGGUUGAUUGACAGUGGAUGUACCCACCAUAUGGCUUCUGAGAAGAGUAUAUUCAAGGAGCUUGACACUACCUUCAAGUCCAAAGUCAGAAUUGGCAAUGGUGAGCUACUGGAGGCAAAAGGGAAAGGCAAGGCUUUGAUAAGUACUAAGUCAGGUAUUAAAACCAUUUCAGAGGUUCUCUAUGUACCUGACAUUGACCAAAACUUGCUAAGUGUUGGCCAGCUAUUGGAGAAGGGUUACUCUUUGAUUUUUGAAGGCAAAAACUGUUUGAUCAAAAAUGCUGCUGGUGAAGUGUUGACUACAGUGGCUAUGCAAGACAGAACCUUCAUUGUGGAUGUGAAUCAACUGUGAGCCAAGGCAUACGCAUCUCAGUCUGAUGAGACAGACUUGUGGCACAGGAGGAUGGGGCAUGUGAACUACAAUUCACUGAGCAUGCUGCACAAAAUGGAUUUGGUCAGUGAUAUGUCCAAAAUUGAGCCAAAGGAUGCUGUAUGUCAGGUCUGUCAGCUAGGCAAACAGACCAGAUUACCCUUUCCAGUAAACAAGGCAUGGAGAGCACAAGGGAAGCUUCAGCUUAUUCAUACAGACAUCUGUGGACCAAUGAAGACUACCUCCUUAAAUGGCAGCAGGUACUUUGUACUCUUCAUUGAUGAUUAUUCAAGGUUCUGUUGGGUAAAUUUUUUGAAGCAUAAGUCAGAUGUUUAUGACUCUUUCUGCAAAUUUAAAGCCUUGGUCGAAAACCAAGCAAAUUGCAAACUAAAAUGUUUGAGGUCUGACAAUGGUUCUGAGUAUGUAUCUCAGAAGUUUCAAAAAUUGUGUGAUGAUGCUGGAAUUCAACACCAAUUGACUACUGUGUACACACCACAGCAAAAUGGUGUUUGUGAAAGGAAAAACAGAACAGUCCUUGAUAUGGCUAGGUGUUUGUUAUUUGAGGCUAAAAUGCCUAAUGUUUUUUGGGCUGAAGCUGUGAAUACAGCUAUUUACCUGUUGAAUAGGUUGCCAACUAAUGCAGUCAAAGGAAAAACUCCCUUUGAAGCCUGGUUUGCACAGAAACCAUCUGUCUCUCAUUUGAAGGUAUUUGGCUGUCUAUGUUAUGUGUUGGUACCUGAGGAGAGAAGAACCAAGUUGGACAGGAGGUCCAUGCCUGGGGUGUUUGUUGGCUACAGCAAUGUGAAGAAAGGAUACAGAGUCUUUGAUCCACUGACCAAGAAGGUUGUAGUGAGCAGAGAUGUGAAAUUCAGUGAAGCAAGUAGCUGGAAAUGGGAUGGAAUUGAAGCAAAUUUGCCAGAUGGAGAAGAGAUUGAUGUUGAUCUGCAGCAAGCUGAAAAUGAAGAAGUAAUUGAAAAUGGCUAUGAUAAUCAACCUGUUCGAGGCACCAGGACAUUAACUGACAUCUAUGAGAGAUGUACAGUAACUAUAGAAGAGCCUUCAUGUUUUGAAGAAGCUGCAAAAGAAAAAUGCUGGCAGGAUGCUAUGGAAGCUGAAUUUAAAAUGAUUCAAAAAAAUGAUACAUGGGAGCUUGUAAACAGACCUGAAAACAGAAAAAUUAUAGGUGUAAAGUGGGUCUAUAGAAUUAAGAACAAUGCAGAUGGCUCUCUUAAUAGACAUAAGGCCAGACUGGUUGUUAAAGGUUAUAGUCAGCAGCAAGGGGUUGAUUUUUCUGAAACCUUUGCACCUGUUGCAAGGUUGGAUACUAUCAGAUUGCUGCUAGCUUUGGCAGCUCAAAAGCAUUGGAAGGUGCAUCAUCUGGAUGUUAAGUCAGCCUUUCUAAAUGGCUUUCUUAAUGAAGAAAUAUUCAUUGAGCAACCUGAGGGUUUUAUGGUCACUGGUGAAGAACAGAAGGUCUACAAGCUGAAAAAGGCCUUGUAUGGUCUAAAACAGGCUCCAAGGGCCUGGUAUGAGAGGAUUGAUGGCUACUUAGCAAGGCUCGGGUUCACAAAGAGUAUCAGUGAGCCUACACUCUAUGUUAAGAAGGAUCAGGAGGAAACCUUAUUAAUUGUUUCCUUGUAUGUUGAUGAUCUGUUGGUUAUUGGCUGCAAAGAUGAACUUAUUGAAGACUUCAAGAAACAGAUGCAACAUGUCUUUGAGAUGACUGACCUUGGUCUGAUGACCUACUUUCUUGGCAUGGAGAUAAAACAAGGAAGUGAUGGCAUUUUCAUAAGUCAGCAAACAUUUGCUUCCAAGGUGCUUGAAAAAUUUUGCAUGUUGAAAUGCAAAUCAGUCACUACACCAGUUGCAUUGGGAGAAAAAUUGUCAAGUGCCAGUGAACAUGAUCGAGUAGAUGAGAAGGCAUAUAGAAGCUUAAUUGGUUGUUUGCUUUAUUUAACAGCAACUAGACCAGACAUUGUCUAUGCUGUUAGUCUACUUUCAAGGUUUAUGCACUGCAGUAAUGUGGCACAUCUGAAGGCAGCAAAAAGAGUGUUAAGGUAUGUCAAAGGAACCAUCGAUACUGGUGUGAAGUUUUGGAGGGCAAGGGAGCUGAAACUCGUAGGCUAUUCUGAUAGCGAUUGGGCAGGGUCAGUUGAUGACAUGAGGAGCACUUCAGGUUAUUUUUUCACCUUAGGCUCGAGUGUUUUCAGCUGGAGUUCCAAGAAGCAACAAACUGUUGCACAAUCUACAGCAGAGGCUGAGUAUAUCUCAGCUGCAGCAGCUGUGAACCAAGCCAUUUGGCUUAGGAAGAUUUUGGAUGAUUUGAAUGAAAGUCAAGUUCAGCCUACUGAGAUUAGAGUGGAUAAUCAAUCAGCUGUGGCCAUAGCCAAAAAUCCAGUCUUCCAUGGUAAGACUAAACACUUCAAAAUCAAAUUUCAUUUUGUUAGAGAAGCUGAGCAAUCGAGGGAGGUUAGCUUAGUUCAUUGCAGUUCAGAAAUUCAACUGGCUGACAUUUUAACUAAACCAUUGGGAGCCAACCGAUUUAAUGCUUUGAAGGAAAGGAUUGGUGUUUGUUGCAUACAGACCAAGGAGGAGUGUUGAAGCCGUGGCCUGCAUUGCAACAAAGAACCAGUAGCAGAAAAUUGAUCAAAGACCAGCAGCAACGAAUUGUAUAAUUUGAGCUGCUACACUAUUUUGAAGUAAAGUAAUGAAGCUGGUUCUCUUGGAAGAUCACAUUUUAGAUGUUUUGUUCCUAUGGAACUUUGUUCAAUUCUUUUGUAUUUUGACAGCAAAGUCAGUAGGAAAAUUGACUGAUGUAAUAGCUGGUAUGCCAGCCUUCUUUUGUAAUCAACUUGCAUUAUUUUAGUAUGUAUUAAGUAAGGGCAGUUAAGUUAGUAGGUAACUGUCAAACAUUACUUGUAACUCCCAUAUAUUCAAAAAUUUGAAUGAAAAAUAUAUGACUUUAGUUGCAAAAUUUUCUUGCUGAGUUCUCUUCUUUGUUUUUUUUCUUUCAUUCGUUUUUGCUUUCUUUGUUACUGCCAUUUUAUCCAACAUGCUCUUGCCAUUUUAACUUUCAUAUUAAAUGUGCUUUGUUUACAUUUAAUAGUGCUGAGAAUAAUUUGAAAGAGCUUGAGCAUGUUGCCCUUCAACAUCCUUUGACUUCCACUGAAAAUGGUGAUUAUGUUGCUAUGUGCUUUGGGUGUUGGGAACCAUUAGCAAAUUAUACACAUUUUUCUCCUGAUUGUGGAUUUAAUUUACAUGAGAAAUGUGCUAAGCUUCUUCUCAAAUUGAAUUUUAUGUACCAUCCUCAACAUCCUCUUGUUUUACAAUUUAACAAUGCGAGACUUCGUUGCAAGAUAUGCAAAGCAACUAUCCGAAGAGGAUUUGCUUAUGGUUGUACAUAUUGUGAGCUUGUAUUUCACAUAGAAUGUUUAUCACCACCACUUGAUCUUGCUGUUGAAGACAAAAGCCAUCAACACACAUUCACUCAACUUUUGAGAAGAGUGCCGUACAUUUGUGAUGCGUGUGGUAUUGAAGGAAUUUACGUUGCCUAUACAUGUUCUACAUGCAGCAUUAUGGUCCAUAAAAGGUGCACUACAUUGCCACGUAUCAUCAAAAGCAAGUGGCAUGAUCAUCGCCUUUUUCACAAAUAUUUCCUUCCGGAUGAAUUUAGAAGUUAAGACUGCACCAUUUGUCAUGAUGAAGUCUAUCCAGAGCAUGGUAGUUAUUUUUGUUCACAUUGCAAUAUUACAUUCCAUGUGCGGUGUGUGACACAGGAUAAAGGCUCAUAUUCAAUAGUUUCACUAGAAAAUGAAGACGAGAUGCCCAAUGAAAGUUCCAUCAUUGUUAUUGAGAGGAAAGAUGCUGGAGAAGCUACAAAAAUAAAGCAUUUCAAGCAUAUGCAUAAUCUAAUGUUAGGUCCCUUUGAUGGACGAUAUGAAAAUAGUUGCAACGGGUGUAUGCUGCCAAUCACGGAUCCAUGUUACUACUGUUCAGAAUGUGUUUUUUUUCUUCAUAAAACGUGUGCCGAGUUACCUAAGAUGAUGAAUGUUUGGUAUCAUUAUUGCCAAGAGCCUCUAGCCCUUAUUUCUGACAAACCUUUUCGUUGUGAACAAUGUCUGGAAAUAUCUAAUGCCUUUGCUUAUGAAUGUUGUGGAUGUAAGAGAAAUAUAUGUCUCCUAUGUGUGAUUGCUCUUACUCCUGGUGCUCGAACAAGUUUGAAACAUAAGCACCCCCUCUUUUACUACAGAUGGGAUGAUUUGGAAGAUGAGCACUCCCCCAUUUACUACAGGCAUGAUUUCAAUCAGCUACCCCUCGUUUACUACAAAUGCCUUGAUAGGAAAUGCAAUGCUUGUGGUACGGCUACGCGGGGGGCAUUUUCUUGUAAGGAUUGCAAUUUUGUGCUAGAUCUUCGAUGUUUCUCACUUCCAAUUAAAGCUCGUCACAAAUGCGAUGAGCAUCUUCUUUCACUCACUGAUCAUGAUGAUAAUUAUUCAAAAAGGCAUCAUUGUGAUAUCUGUGAAAAUAGUCGAGAUCCAAAUCGUUGGUUUUAUCAUUGUGCAACAUGCGAUACUUCUGCUCAUACUGGUUGUGUUCUUGGAAAAUAUCCAUUCCUCAAACUUGGGAGCAUCUAUGAAGAAAUAGAUCAUCCACACCCACUCACCGUUGUGAAGAAGAAGUAUUACUAUCCUGAUUGUGAUAAAUGCGAUAAGCCCUGUGAAGAUGUGGUUCUUGAGUGCUCAAAGUUAGAGUGCAAAUAUAUUGUCCACUGGGAUUGUGUAGCACCCAUUUCUCUACAGUGUUGGUGGAAGUUGCUCAUGUAGCAAUUCAGAUGUAAUUAUAUUUGAAACUUGCCACUUCAUUUGCAGGUAAACUAAAGAGUGGAAAACAUGAUUUGAUCUUUGCAUUGUUACUUGUGGUGUUAGUUGUUGUUAUUGUAAUUUGGUUUUUUUAACUUUUUAAGUUAUAAAUAAAUAUAAUGUAAUAAUCUGAAGCUGAAACUUGUGAGGUUUGCAUUGGUGUUUGAUUGUUAAUUUUAGAAUUUAUUGUAAUUUGGGAGUGUGAUUGUACUUAUAAUAAUAAAAGUGUUGUUGGAUGCUUCUCUUUAUUUCUUUAUAUAAGUUUACUUGAAAAUACAACUUUUUCUUAAAUUAUUUUUCUCUCUUUUGCUACACAUUCAAAUUAGGUUUAGCAUUUGGUUAUGUAUUUGUUGUGGAUGCUUCAAACUCUAUGUAGAUUUAUCUCUCAUCUCUUUUUUACUCUUUUAUAUCACAACCUUGUAUGUAAUUUCUUUACUAAAUAAUAAAUUUAAUGUCAUAAUAUGACCAAAAGCAACAUAUAUCUAACACGAUCAUUCUUUAUAUAUAUAGUCAUUGAAUGUAUAAUUUAUUAUUUACGGAUUAAAAAAUACUUUUAAAAAAUAUCCGAAACUUUUUUUAUUAAAUUAGAUAACAAAACAUUACGUUAGGAUAAAUUGUUUUUUUUUUGUCAAACUGCGGUUAUGGUUGUUGUAGUAUGUUUAAAUUUAGGAUUUGGUAUUUAUAUUUUAAUUUGAAAUAAUUUAGUUUUUAUACUUGUAGAAUAUCAUUAUUUAGUUCAAAUAGUUGGCAUCCUUAAUUAUUAUUGUUAAAAUGUUGAGGGUAAAUUUUUUUCUAAAAAUAUUCAUUCUAAUUUAUCAUGUCGAAAUAGAUUUUCAGCGUGUUUUUAAGAAAUAUUCAUAUAAUCAUUUUAGUGGAUUUUAAACUAUUUGAACUAAGCUAUGUCAUUUUUAAAAUAUAGAAUCAAAUUAUGCCAAAUUAAAAGACUAAAUACAAAACAUGAGCACAGUAAAAGGAUUAAAGUGGAAAUUUAACCAUUAUCUUAUAAUGGCUUAAAAAAGAGAAAAGGAUGGAGUUGGAUAGGUGCCAUGGACAGAAAAUAUACAUUCCAACAUGUCAUACUAAAAUAGUUAAUUUUUUGUGUUACAAAAGUGUUUUUAUGAAAAAUUUACAUCAUAAUUUUAAUUCUUUUAAUAUCGAAUACUUAUAUCCAGCGAUGGAGUCACCGGUCCCUUUAUUAUUUAUAAAAUUUUAAAUUAGUAAUGGAAAAUUUAUAAUUUGUUUUUUUUAAAUAAUAAAAAAUUAAUUUAAUUAUUUAAAAAUGAUAAAGUUAUAAAUCAUUAAAUAGUGAAAUUAUAUUUUUACGAUAGUAAAAAUAUACAAUUUAAUUCCGACCUCCCAAUUUUUUUUUUAUUUUGCCUCAUUAUAUCUAUGUUUUAUAUAUUUGUGAGUAAAAAUAGAUAUAAUAAAUAUAGCCCACAAAAUUAAUAUAUAUAUAUAUAUAUAUAUAUAUAUAUGAGCAUAAUACAAUAAGUAUCAUAACAACUACAUAAUUUUUUUGGGGGAAAAUAGAUUCAUAUAUUUCAAUUUAGAAUGAUAAAAUAUAUACUGAAAUAAUAAUUAUGAGUAUAUCAUUAAUAUGGGUGAUAAAUUUUAGUGUUUAUAUAUUUUACUGUAAUAUUAUUAAUUUUAUUUUGUACAUUUAAAUUAUAAUAGAUAUUAGGAAUAGUAAUGUAUUUUAUCUUAUGAAAAGGUAUUAGCACUAAUAAUAAACUUUAAUCAACAUAUUCUUAAUUUAAAUACCAAAAAUAUAAAUAUAAUACUAAAACAUUAAAUUAAAUAUAAAAAUAAAUUUAUACAAAUUAUUUUAAUAUUGAUCAGUGCAUCGCGGUCGUGUAUUCCUACUAUUGAUAUAUCGGAGCCUAGCCUAAUCUAUUGAUAAAUGUAAUAGUUAGGGGUUAUGAUUGUAGCAAUUAUUAUUAGCCUAACCAUUUGCUAAGUUUAAAGUGAUUUUGAAGUUUGUGUGGUUGUAGUAAAUUGAGUUUUAAUUCGACUGAUAUAUGUAUUGUUGUCAAUGUAGAAAGACGUAAGUUUAAGUGCAUUGAAGCGCAUUAUCCUCUUAUUUAUGAAUUAGAGAAGAGUUAUAAGUAGUUUUAGGUAUUGCGUCAAAAAGAAUCUAUAUGAAAAGUUUGAGUGGUUGUAGUUAGUUCUAUUCCUACCCUGAAUCACGAGUGAUUUUAUUUUUAUUUUGUGCUUCUCUCAACAUGUGUUGCUAGACUGUUACUUUUAAUCAAAGUAAAUUUGAGGUUUUAAUUCUUGAAAUUUAAUUGACUUUUAUUCUAUUUGUUUUUUUGGUAUAUAUAUAUAUUCUAUUUUAGUUACAAAUAUUUAGAUUUGUUGAAUAUAAUUUUCAUCUCAAUCAGAAUUAUUUGAUAAUUACAUUAUGAUGAGUUAAUAGUGCAGGAGAGCUUUUGGUGGAUUUGUUCGAACAAGUGUAUGUUUGAUACAAUUAAAACCAAAUCCUCGUCACUGAUAUGGCGCCCUCUUCCGCAAGGCUGUACGAAGUUCAAUGUAUGCGGGAUAGCAAAUGAGGAAGGUGCAGGAGUUCUAAGAGAUAUGAAGGGUGUUGCAAGAGCUUUAUUUUCGGGUCCUAUUUCAACUAAUGAUGCAGAUUCAGCAAAGGCAGGGAUGGUGUUUGUAGCAUUGGAUUUGUUCUUAUCCAUGGGAUCGAAGAUUAACAGCUAUCUUAUUGUAGAAACUGGUUCAAAAAUGGUGUACAAUUGGUGUCUGAACAAGGAUAUGAGACCGUGGUCUUUACAAACGGCAUUUUUAGAUAUUGAGAGGAAAAUUGAGCUGGUGGGUAGAAUAGUAUUCUUGAUGGCAGAUCAGAAAGGUAAUGAAAUGGCUUCUACGUUGGCGGUAGCAGAUAUUAAUAGUGGCGAUAUGUUUAAAGCUUGGUGGUGAGUAUUAGCUUUGAUGUCGAGUAUUUGUUUUUCAAUUAUAGGAAAUGUUUCAGUGUGGCAUUUGUAAGUUGUUCCUUUGAAUGUUGUUCUUGUUGUAUUUACAACAAAUUAGUUUGAAUGAAGCAAAAAAAAAAAUUACUAAAUUUGUAUUUGUUUAAUAAUUAUAAUACAUGUGACGAAUAACAUGAUUGUGUAAAAGCUAAGUAUAUCUAAUUUAAAUAAACCUUACCUCUUUGUGUUUAUGGGCUACAAUUACAUUUCUCUAGUUUUUAAUAUUAUUGAUAGAUUAAGUUCUAGGUGCUUAAUUAUAGAGUUGUAUGUCAAUUAAGAAAAUAACUAACAAGCUUCACCUUCAUUAUCGAGAAGAUAAUGAGAGAUUAAUUGUUAGGUACUUUAUCAGUAAUUAGAAUUGAUUUGUCAGAGUAUUAUAAUUUAUCUUUACAUUAACGAUCAAAUUUAAAAAUCAAAAUUGAGUUUUCACCUUUGAUUAGAUUCUAAUCAUAUUGAUUUUCUUUUUAUUUUAUUUGUGAAUUUUGCUUUGAAUAUUUUAAUUUUAGUUUCAUUCCAUCUCUACAAAUAUGACCUUACUCACUCCUAACUACACAAUUUUAUAUUUUUCAGUAGGAUUUUACUUUUAUAGGAAUUGACAUCCAUUAAAUUUUGGUGUCAUUAUCGAGAAUUGAUAUCUAUAAUUUUAUUUAUUUAAUGCCUUUUAUCUUCUUGUGCAAGUGAGCUCUAGUAUGAAUUUGAGUUUGAUAAGACUACUCGAAGACUAUGGAAGGAAUCUAAUGUUAACAUUAAUGGAAGACAAUUAAUAAUGGUUGCCAUUAACAUUAAUGGGAGACAAUCAAUAAUAACAACCACCAACUUUGGAAAAGUGGCAAGGGAUAAUUUUUUUUUGGUCCUUGAGAUAAUGGGCUAUUUAUUGUUUGGUCCUUGAACCUCAACUAUAAAUAGGCCUUCUCAUUUCUCAUUUCAAUUCAUCCCAACCAAUCUUUCUCUCUUAGUUUUCUCUCUUCUCCCAUUUGAGAAUUCUUAAGGAAUUCUAUUUGUUUGUAAUACUUUGGAGAUAGUAAAGUUAUCAUCUGGUGUUAGUGCCCGAGGACGUAGGUAUAAUUUACCGAACCUCGUUAAAUCUCUUGUGUUCUUUCUUGUCCUAUUUUUCUUUCAAUAUUUGAGGGUAUAAUAGUAGUAUUUAAUUGUGCUAUUAAAUUACUAUAGAAGGGAUAUUCUGUCUAAGGAAAGACUUGGUAUUUAAGAGAUCCAUGUGAUCCACCUCUCUUCCCUGGGAAUUGAACUUUGUGUGAUUUUUUAGUACAAUAAUUUACACGCUUCCGACCCUAUUGGAACAACAAGUGGUAUCAAGAGCCGAAGGUUAAUCGUAGUAUGCUCUGUGGUUGCAGUUUGAACUGAUCUUCCACAUCAGAAAAGAUUUCCUUAGGUAUAUUGAAAGAUUAUGGAGAAAACGGUCGGUGUAGGAGCUUCAACAUCGUCCAUGUGGAUAAAACCGACAAUUGCAAAUGCAAGACUGGCCGUGGAGAUCUUUGAUGGCACGGGCCAUUUUGGUAUGUGGCAAAGUGAGGUUCUAGAUGCCCUUUUUCAGCAGGGUCUAGACAUUGCCAUUGAUGAAGAGAAACCAGAUGAUGUACAGGAGAAAGAUUGGAAGGCGAUCAAUCGGUUGGCAUGUGGCACAAUUCGAUCAUGCCUUUCUCGAGAGCAGAGGUAUGCUUUUUCAAAGGAGACUUCUGCAAAUAAGUUGCGGGUGGCACUUGAAGAAAAAUUUUUGAAAAAAAACAAUCAAAAUAAGCUCCACUUGAAGAAAAGACUGUUUCGCUUCACAUACGUCCCAAGUACCACAAUGAAUGAUCACAUCACCAAAUUUAAUCAGUUAGUCACUGAUUUGCUGAAUAUGGAUGAGACAUUCAAAGAUGAAGAUUUGGCUUUGAUGCUGUUGGGGUCACUUCCUGAGGAGUUUGAGUUCCUAGAAACUUCUCUACUUCAUGGCAGGAGUGAUAUAUCUCUGAGCGAAGUCUGUGCGGCCUUAUACAGUUAUGAAUAGAGAAAGAAGGACAAACAGAAAAAACUCAAUCAGAGAUACAGAAGCUUUAGUAGUUCGAAGUCGUUCAUACACUCGGAAGAAAGCUCAAAAGGGGAGAUCAAAGUCAAAGUCCAGACUCGGGAAAGAUGAAUGUGCUUUUUGUCAUGAGAAAGGCCACUAGAAGAAAAAUUGUCCAAAGCUGAAGAAUAAGGGAAAAGCUGCUGUAGAUGCUUGUGUUGCAAAGCAUGAUACCAGUGACUCUGAACUAUCACUGGUUGCAUCAUCAUCGUCGUUCCAUUCAGAUGAGUGGAUAUUGGAUUCGGGUUGUACCUAUCAUAUGUCCCCUAACCGGGAGUGGUUCUCUGAUUUAGUAGAACUAAAUGGAGGAGUUGUUUAUAUGGGCAAUGACAAUGCCUGUAAAACUGUUGGGAUAGGUUCAAUCCAAUUAAAGAAUAAAGAUGGAUCAACCAGAGUUCUGACUGAUGUUCGGUACGUGCCCAGUUUGAAGAAAAAUCUCAUCUCAUUGGGAGCCCUAGAAUCCAAUGGUUCAGUUGUUACUAUGAGAGAUGGGGUUUUGAAAGUGACAUCUGGCGCACUUGUGAUAUUGAAGGGCAUCAGGAAAAAUAACUUGUAUUACUACCAAGGCAGUACAGUUAUUGGAGCAGUCGCUGCAGCUUCCGGCAACAAAGAAUUGGACUCAAUACAGUUGUGGCAUAUGAAGUUGGGACAUGCCAGCGAAAAAUCCUUGCAAAUUCUGGCAAAGCAAGGAUUGUUGAAAGGUGCAAAGGCUUGCAAAUUAAAAUUUUGUGAGCAUUGUGUUCUGGGAAAGCAAAAGAGAGUGAAAUUCGGUACUGCUAUCCAUAAUACAAAAGGUAUUUUGGAAUAUGUUCACUCAGAUGUGUGGGGGCCUUCCAAGACACCUUCAUUGGGAGGAAAACACUACUUUGUUACUUUUGUUGAUGACUUUUCUAGAAGAGUUUGGGUGUAUACCAUGAGAACUAAGGAUGAAGUGCUUAGAGUUUUUCUUAAAUGGAAAACUAUGAUCGAAAACCAGACUGGCAAGAAAAUCAAGCGGCUUAGGACGGACAAUGGAGGGGAAUAUAAAAGUGAUCCGUUCUUCGAUGUGUGCCAAGAGUAUGGUAUUGUUCGACACUUCACAGUUAGGGAUACACCACAGCAGAAUGGAUUGGCAGAGCGUAUGAAUCGAACAUUGCUGGAGAAAGUUCGAUGUAUGUUGUCCAAUGCUGGGUUGGGCAAGCAAUUUUGGGCUGAGGCUGUGACAUACGCUGGCCAUCUUGUUAAUCGUUUGCCAUCAUCUGCAUUAGAAAGAAAAACUCCUAUGGAGGUAUGGUCUGGAAAACCGGCUACAGAUUAUGAUUCCUUACAUGUGUUUGGAUCCACUGCAUAUUACCAUGUGAAGGAGUCAAAGUUAGAUCCGAGGGCAAAGAAAGCUCUCUUUAUGGGAAUCACUUCUGGAGUGAAGGGAUUUCGUCUUUGGUGCUUAAGCACAAAGAAAAUAAUCUGUAGCAGAGAUGUUACCUUUGAUGAAUCUGCCACAUUGAAAAAGGUAGCAGAUAAAGAUAUUCAGACGAGCAAUACUCCACAGCAGGUGGAGUGUACUCCAAAACAGGUGGAGUUUGAGUAGAUGGGGAUUUGCCCAGUUAAUAAGUCUAAUUCUCCAGCCACAAUGGAGGAAUUAGAGGUUGAAGAGGUUCUGACCCAAGAACCACUAAGUACACCAGAACCAGUUGCAGUUGCAAGGCCACGGAGAGAAAUUUGUAAACCUGCUCGAUUUACUGAUAUGGUGGCCUACGCCCUUCCCGUUGUUGAUGAUAUUCCUAUCACUUAUCAAGAAGCAAUGCAAAGCUUAGAAAGUGAUAAAUGGAAAAGCGCCAUGGAUGAAGAAAUGCAGUCUCUCCGGAAGAACAAUACUUGGGAGUUGGCGCAAUUACCGAAAGGUAAAAGGGCAAUCGGAUGCAAGUGUGUAUUCGCAAAGAAAGAUGGAUCUCCUAGCAAGAAGGAUAUUCGCUACAAGGCAAGAUUGGUAGCUAAAGGCUAUGCUCAGAAGGAGGAAAUUGACUACAAUGAUGUAUUUUCCCCUGUUGUGAAGCAUUCCUUCAUUAGAAUUUUGUUGGCCUUGGUAGCACAGUUGAAUUUGGAGCUAGCUCAACUUGAUGUUAAGACGACUUUCUUGCAUGGUGAGUUAGAAGAGGAGAUCUAUAUGACUCAGCUAGAAGGAUAUACAGAUGCUGGUGGUAGAAAUUGGGUUUGUAAGCUUAACAAAUCGCUAUAUGGAUUGAAGCAAUCCCCGAGGCAGUGGUACAAGCGAUUUGAUAGCUUUAUGAGAAGGCAGAAGUACACAAGAAGCAAAUAUGACAAUUGUGUGUAUUUGCAGAAGCUGCAUGACAGAUCUUUCAUUUAUCUACUCUUGUAUGUUGAUGAUAUGUUAAUCGCUUCGAAGAGCCAAAAAGAGAUAGAUAAGCUGAAGGCUCAGUUGAAUCAAGAGUUCGAGAUGAAAGAUCUAGGUGAGGCCAAGAAGAUUCUCGGUAUGGAGAUAAGUAGAGAUAGACAGAGAGGCAAGCUUUGUUUGAAUCAGAAGCAAUAUCUGAAAAAGGUAUUACAAUGUUUUGGUGUAAAUGAAAACACAAAACAUGUAAGUACCCCACUUGCUUCUCAUUUGAAACUUAGUGCUCAAUUAUCUCCGAAAACUGAAGAAGAAAGAGAAUAUAUGGCGAAAGUCCCAUAUGCUAAUGCAGUUGGGAGUUUGAUGUAUGCGAUGGUGUGUACGAGGCCUGACAUUUCACAAGCUGUUGGAGUUGUGAGCAGGUAUAUGCAUGAUCCUGGAAAAGGACAUUGGCAAGCUGUGAAAUGGAUUCUACGGUAUCUUCGAAAAACCGUAGAUGUUGGUUUAAUUUUUGAACAGGAUGAAGUACUUGGUCAGUUUGUAGUUGGAUAUGUUGAUUCCGACUUUGCUGGUGAUUUAGAUAAACGUCGUUCAACUACGGGGUAUUUGUUUACUCUUGCGAAAGCCCCAGUGAGUUGGAAGUCUACCUUACAGUCUACAGUAGCUGUGUCUACUACAGAGGCAGAAUAUAUGGCAGUUACAGAAGCUGUUAAGGAGGCUAUUUGGCUUAAUGGAUUGUUGAAAGACUUAGGAGUUGUUCAAAGUCACAUAAGUUUAUAUUGUGACAGUCAGAGCGCUAUUCAUUUAGCGAAAAAUCAAGUCUAUCAUUCAAGAACCAAGCAUAUCGAUGUAAGAUAUCACUUUGUGCGGGAAGUCUUUGAAAAAGAAAAAAUUCUACUUCAGAAGAUUCCGACAGCAGAUAAUCCCGCAGAUAUGAUGACCAAGGUGGUAACAACAAUCAAGUUUAAUCAUUGUUUGAACUUGAUUAACAUCCUGAGAAUUUGAGCACCUUCAGAUGUAUGGCGCUCGAGAGCGCAUUUGUAGGCACUACAAAAGAUAGCUUUAUCGAAUUUGGGGAUUUGAAGGAAGUGUGUGAAGAUGUGAUUAUCCUAAUCAAAUCUUCAAGGUGGAGAUUGUUAACAUUAAUGGAAGACAAUUAAUAAUGGUUGCCAUUAACAUUAAUGGGAGACAAUCAAUAAUGACAACCACCAACUUUGGAAAAGUGGCAAUGGAUAAUUUUUUUUUGGUCCUUGAGAUAAUGGGCUAUUUAUUGUUUGGUCCUUGAACCUCAACUAUAAAUAGGCCUUCUCAUUUCUCAUUUCAAUUCAUCCCAACCAAUCUUUCUCUCUUAGUUUUCUCUCUUCACCCAUUUGAGAAUUCUUAAGGAAUUCUAUUUGUUUGUAAUACUUUGGAGAUAGUAAAGUUAUCAUCUGGUGUUAGUGCCCGAGGACGUAGGUAUAAUUUACCGAACCUCGUUAAAUCUCUUGUGUUCUUUCUUGUCCUAUUUUUCUUUCAAUAUUUGAGGGUAUAAUAGUAGUAUUUAAUUGUGCUAUUAAAUUACUAUAGAAGGGAUAUUCUGUCUAAGGAAAGACUUGGUAUUUAAGAGAUCCAUGUGAUCCACCUCUCUUCCCUGGGAAUUAAACUUUGUGUGAUUUUUUAGUACAAUAAUUUACACGCUUCCGACCCUAUUGGAACAACAGCUAAAUCGCAAUCCAACCAGAGAUCUUCAUCCCCAACUUAGAAUCAAUGCUUGAGAAAUAACUAUAAGAGGGUUAGGCAUGUUAGAUCUGAAUCAACAAUUGCUUUACAUUGGGGAAAGUAACUUUUGAAUUAAAAUAAUAGUAAUGAUAAGAUUAAAUAUUAUAAUAUAAGAUAAAAAAUUUAAAUACAUCGUACUAAAAAUAAAUAAUCAUCCAUAAAAACUCUAAUUUAUUUAUGUCCUUUUAGUGGCUUAGAGAAUGAAGAUUCACAUAAGCAUCGGAAGGAAUUCCAUGUGGAUUAUUUGACCUAAGAGACUUUAACGAGGAUCUGAAGAUCAAAUUAAGCAGUGAUAUUGUAAAAUUAUUUUUAAAUCUUUUCUUUUUCUUUUUUACUUCACGUGCUAUUUGUAUUAGGAAAGACAUUUGCAGCAUUAAACAAAAAGAUUAGGAUACUCUUUAUAAGUAGAAGUGUUAAUGGGUUGAGUCAAAUUCUAAUAAAAAUUUGGGUCUAUUUGAUAGGUCCAAUUUGACUCAAAAAAUGAGCCUAAAAUUUUGUCAAAAUUCUACUCAGAUUAUUGAUGUUAAACUCAAUUUGUAUUAAAAAUAUAGUAUCGAUACAAUAGGAAAUGUAUUGAUACUUGCUAUGAGGUAUCAAUACCUCGGGGAGGGUAUCGAUACUCAAACAAAUUUUCUUUAAUUUUCAAAACAUCAAAUCUUAAGACAGUAUCAAUACAUUCAAGUCGAGUUCGAACUAAAAAAUCCUUACCCAAGGCUCGAUCUAUUUUUUAAACAGGUCAUAUUUUUUAGUCUAAAUCAAUUUUUCAAACGAGUCUUUGAGUCGGAUGAUCAUGGACAGGUCUACUCACAAGUAUUGUGUAACGCCCAAAAAUUCAUAUUUCCGUUUUUGGAUAAAUUUGACACAAAUGUGUAUUUGCUUUAGUAGUUAAAUGUUUUGGGUGUAUGUGAGAGGUCCCAAGUUCAAGCUUUAUCUUUGACAAAUUUUGGUAUUUUUUUGACUUAAGCCUUAUUCUUAUUCAGCGGGCUUAUAUUAAAUUAUGUGUGAGCCCAUUUUCACUGAAUUGAUAGCUAAGGUUACACGGGUAGCCCAAGUUGACUGUGAACCUACUGUAGGAUCAGUAAGUAUUAUUUAGACCCCUAAUUCUGUGAACUGACUGAUUGAUGUUUAUAUAUUGAGUAUGAUGAUAGUAUGCAUGUAUACAUUUACUGAUUAUAUGUACUGAUAUCAUGAGAUAACAUGUCAUGUAUUGUAUGUUGCAUUGCAUGGGGUUGAGUUGAUUUUAUUUGGAGGAAGUGUACUGAAAGGCUCUUAAGCCUAAUAUACUGGCAGCUCAGCUGCAAUCUAUUGGUUUGUGCCGUAUUUGGUACUACUUGGAGUGUUGGGAUGGGUGGGUUGAUUUAAUCCCCACAUGGAGUGUAGGCUUGGACGGAGAUAGUCUGUAAAGGCUGGUUGGGUAGGAUUUUGUUACUGGAUGUUGUAUAUCUAUUGCUGAUACUGUGAUGGGCUAAGGCCCUUGUGCAUACUGAUACUGAUACUGAGUUGGGCUAAGGCCAAACCGUUACUGAUAUUGAAAGGGGCUUAGGCCCAAGAUUGUUUUUGACUGUACACUGUGUUUACUGUUAUUUGUUUUCUGUGGGAUUAUACACUGAGUUUACAUAAACUCACCUCUCUCUGUUUAAUGUGCACAGGUAAUUCCCAGACCUAGAAGAUCGGUGCGGUGGAGGACUUUACGAAGACCACUUGACUAUUAAACGAUUUUAUUUUCAUUUAUGGUUUAAAUUCCUUAUUUUGACUGUUUGACUUUUUGUUGGGUUUUAAAUUGAUCUAUGGGUUUUUAAACUGCAGAGCUCGAUUUUAUUUAAAUCAACGUUUUACUAAACGUGAACGGUUUUCAUCAAAUAUCACGAUUUGCAAGCUUUCGCUACGAGACAUGUUUUUAAACAAAUCAAGCUAGUGAUGAAACAAGUUUUGAAAUUAACGAGAGAUAAAUAAAAGCUAAUAAACGGAAACAACUUCAACUUGAAACAUUUGUUUUUAAAAUUUCAUUCCAUGUGACAUCGCUAGAUUCGGCUAUAACUUCUAGGCCGGGUUUGAGGUUACUCUUCUAACAUUUUUACGAAGGACUCCUCCAAAUGGAAAGAAAGAUGAUGAAUGUCGUUAAUGGAAGUUCCGUAAUGAACAAAGCUCCUCUUGAAGCUAGAAAGUUGAUUUUGAUCAUGGUUGUUAAUUAGUAAUAAUUCGAUUCAAACAAGACAUUCCAAAGGAGUGAAUGAAGUAAUUGUUUUUUCUCAAAAAAAUCGACUUUAUGAACUAAAUACUCUUGAGUGAUAAAUGGUUGUAGCGAAAGCACAAGUGAAUAUUCAUGGGGUUUGUGCUAAUUUCAAUCGUCCAAUUGAUAUGCGUCUAACAUUCCAAAAUGAUUAUUAUGACUGCUCCACUGCAAAGGAGAUAUGAUUCCUACUUAAAACACUUAUAUUCAAGGUUAGAAUAGCGGUGAAGUCCGACAUUUUUUUUUAGAGGAAUCAAAAUUAAAUUAUAUAUUUUUACGAUAGUAAAAAUGUAAUUUCACUAUUUUAAUAGUUUAUAUCUUUAUAACUUUUAAAAAAUUGCAUUAAAUUUUUAUCAUUUUUAGAAAGUCAAAAUGUAAUUUUACCAUUAUCAAUUUAAAAUUUUAUAAAUUAUAAAAAGACUUAAAUAAAAAAAAUUAUUUUAAGAGAGUUGAGACCCCUAUACCAGCCCUCUAGUCCCGCCUUAAUUGGAGGGAUCAUCUAAAUUUUAAUUGCAGAGUAACGUCGCAAAAUUUCCAACAUUCCCAACCAAAUUUAUUUAUAUUAAAAAUUACAUAUUUUUUAAAAACUAUUAUAUCAAAUUAAUUAAAAAAUUUAUUGUGAAAUGAUUAUAUUUUUAUUUCCAUUAGUAUUUUAUUGUUUAUUAUAUUACUACAUUUUACAUUGAGUCAUAUUUUUUUAGUUCAUUAUUAUUUUUAUAUAUUUAUAUUUUGAAUUUAAUUUUAAACAUUUUCUCAAAUUAUUUUCUUCAUUAAUAUUUGUAUAUAAAUUAUUUUCUUAAGUUGUAUUUUUUAGAUGGUAUAUUUAAAUAAAUUAGUCCAUACAUUCAAUUGAGGUUGAAUGAAUCAUAUAUUUGUUUUGUACUUUUACUAUUAUUUUUGUAUUGUGUUUUAAUUUUCCCAUAUCAUGUUUUCAUAUUUGGUGUGAUUUUAUCAUAAUUACUAGAAAGUAUUUAAAAAUAUUUACAUAAAAUAUAAAUAUUAAUUUUUUAAAAAUAUUUAUUUAAUAUAAUUAAAAUUAUUUUUAUUUAUAAUUGAUUUUUUGGACCUUGAGCAUAGUCAGGUAAUAAAUUCUAGUAACUACAUACAGAGGUGAAUAUAAGGAGACAGAUCCUUCCUCCCUUCAAAAAAUAUAUAAAAUUGUAGUUUUAGUUCCUUAAAGAUAAUUAAAUUUUAAAUUAUGCUUUGAAGCCUCUAAUAUAUAUAUAUUUAGUCACUCUCAAAAUAAUGAAAUCAUACUGAUAAAAUUAUGCUUUUGUCCUUCUAAAAAUAAAAAAAAUCUAUUUAAUCCAUUUAAAAAUAAUGAAAUCAUAAAUUAAUAAAUAAUAAAAUUAUAUUUCGACAUCUUAAAAUUUUAUAAUUUAAUUUUGAUUUUUAAAAGAAUUUCUAGAUUCGCCACUAACUAAAUAUAAAAGGAAUGCCAUAGGCGGCUUCUUGUUGUAGACACCUGUCCUAAUUAAUUUUUUUAAGUUUAAUCUAAAUUACAACCAACCACCCAAAAUUAAAAUCACAUUAAAGUUAUUAGGUUAGGCUAAUCAUAAUUUCUACAACUAAAGUUGGAGAUUAUAGAUAUAUAGAUGAGUCCAGCAUUAGCUGUAGAAAUUAUUAUUAUAGUCUAUCUUUUAACCUUAAUGUGAAUUAAUUGAGUGGUUGAUUGUAGUUUAGAUUAAACUUAAAAAAAAAAAAGCACACAAUUUUUAGAUUAGAUCUUAAAAAAGGAUAUGGUUUGCCUUUGUUGGAGUUUUCCAUCAAGAUAAAUAUUGUAACACAGUUUUCAACAUAACUGUUUGGAAAAUUAAUCAAGGGAGUUUAAGAUUAGUGAGAGAUUAAAUUUGGAAUUGAAAAUAUAAAGAAUACACAAGAAUUGUUUAUACACUUCGGUUUCUCUAUGUUUGUUAAGCUUAGUUCAAUGAGAAAUAUUUACUCUCUUUAACAGAUACAUCAAGUGAUCCUAACCUAUCACACACCCCGUCAUGAUUCUCCUCACUUUCAAACCUUAAAAAACAAUAUUUUCACCACUAAAUUUAUCCCUAUGAACUUAUCAAGUAAAAUCACAAUACAAUCGGUUUUACUAGCAAUUUGCACUCUAAGAAAAGUUGCUUAAAUUGAACAAGAUGAGUGUUAAAAACUCUCAAUACAAAAAUCUAUACAAGUCUCUCCCUUAAAUAGAUUUUCGUUCGAGACUUUCUAACAUACAAGAUCUAUAACAAUCUCAUUAAAACAACAAUACUGUUUACAAUAUAAUAAUAGAGAAUAAAACAAAGUGGAAUCUUGGAAUCUAAUCAUAUAGAGUUUCAAUCCAACCCAAAUAUCUAUGUUGCAAAGAAUUGUCUUGGGUGAUUUAAUUUGAUCUAACCUUCAUCAUUGGACUAAAUAUUCUCUAAACAAUCAACACAUCCCAUUCAAAUGGUUCAGUAAAUUGUCAAUACUCAAAUAUGAAAAUUGCCACCCAAUAGCUCCAAUGUUAGGGAAGCGCACUUUCUUGGCACUUAAAGGGCAGUUUCAUAUUUUCAAUAUAAUAUAUAAUAAAUAACGAAAUAUAUGGUUUGAAAAUUAAUUAAUCAUAAUAACACAUGAAAGUAAUACCAUAAAUACAUUAGAUUAACAAAACUAAAUGCACUACAAUUAUUUACCAUUGCGUUGUCAUCAAUUGUGAGUUAGUGUCAAGUUGACUUGUGACACAAACUCAAUUAACAACAUUAUUAUAUACAAUUGAUGGAGAUAAUAAAUUGCACAUAUUAAAAUAAAAAUGUAUAUAGUACAUCAAAAUGAAACUUUGGUUAAAUGGUAAAUUUAAGGGUGUAUUAAUUUAAUUCGCGUGGAUUCAAAUUUCACUGUAUGUAUUUUUUUAUUGAUUUGUUUUAAAAUAAAAAGACUAAAAUACCUUCAAAUAAUAUAAUUUAUUUUAAUUACAAAAGCGUAUUUUUAUAAUUUCCCUAACUGAGUUGGUGACCGAGAGUGACACUAACUUAGUAAAACACUUAAUAAAUAGUAUAGAAGUAUACAUACAACUGAUAGAGGUAAUAAAUUGUGCAUAUUAAAAUAAAAAUAUAUAAAAUAUAUCAAAAUGAAAUUUUGAUUGAGUAGUAAAUUUAAAAGUUUAUUGAUUUAAUUAUCGCGGGUUCAAAUCUCACCAUAUAUAUAUUUAUUGGUCUUUGUUAAAAUAAAAUACUAAAAUAUUCGCCAAAUAAUAUAAUUUAUUUUAAUUAUAGAAAGAUAUUUUCGUAAUUUUUCUAAUUGAGUUGGUAAUAGAGUUGAGGGUGACACCAACUUAGUACAACUAAAGUUAGGCUCAUCUAUAUAUCUAUAUAUCUAUAUAUAUUGUGAACUUCAAAGAUAGUAAAUAGAGUAAAAUAAGAAUGUGUUUAAUAAAUUAAAAAAUAUAGGAAUAAAUUAUAUUAAGAUGAUUCUAAAAUAUAUAAAAUUUUAAUUUUUAAAAUAUUUAAAAUAUUAAAAUAACGCAAUACCACUAUAUUAGGCUCCAUCUAGUUUGAAAAUAUUUUCUAUUUCCAUUUUUUUAAAAAUAAUUUAGAUAAAAUAAUGUUGUUCAUUUUAACUUAACACUAUAUCAGGUUUCCCCUAAACCCAGGUUACAGCCGACUGGGCAAUGGAUAUAAAUAGCUAGCCAAGUGGGUUGUGGUAAGCAACCACAACAUUGAAACACAUCCAAAGAGCAAAUUACUAGCUUGAUAGAGAUGCCUUAUUCCGAAAUGAUAGCAAAAAUGAGGUUGGCAUUGCCCGGCUUUGUCGUCCUCCAACCCAUCGAUAAGAUUGAUUACUUGGGCUAUAUUCAUGAAGGUGGAGACAAUGAUGGGUAUCUCAGGUUCAUGGAACCUCAAGCUGCGAGCCCAUAUGCGAAGUUCGAAGUUGAGUUUUCUGGCUCAAAUGACUUUGUGCAUAUAAGAAGUUGUCAAAACAACAAAUAUUGGGAACGAAAGCAAAUUCUUUCUAUCUCUGGGGGCUAUUGGGUUACAGCAACCGCCGACAAGAAGGAGGACGAUCAAUCCAAGGAGUCAUGCACAUUGUUCAAAGUUACCUCUGUAGACCAUGCCAUGAAUACGGUCCGAAUCAUGCAUGUCCAAUCAGGCUGCUAUUUAUGUUGUUGGCGAUGGGAUAGUGAAAAAUAUACUCGCGGCAUGUAUUCAUUCUACAAGACGCAUGAUCAAAAUGGCUUUGAUAUCUUCAAAUUUAUCGAUUGGAACUCGUUAUUGAUUCUACCUAGGUUCGUGGCCUUCAAAGGAUAUAAUAAUAAGUAUCUGUGUCUUCGUCGUGUUGAAUGGGACCUCCCAUAUAUGCAAUUCUCAAGUGAUGACAUUGGUGAUUCAACUGUGGCAUUGGAGGUUUUUCUUACUGAUGAUGGUUACGUCCGCAUCAAACCUGUCUGCACUGACAAGUUCUGGAGGCGUAGUCCAAAUUGGAUCUGGGCGGAUUCUAACGACAGUAGUAGCAAGAACACGGACACCGUGUUUCGCCCCGUCAGAGUUGACAAUAAGACCAUAGGUCUUAUCAACUUAGGCAACAAUGCUUUUUGCAAGAGCCUUACAACUGAAGGAAAAUAUGAUUGCCUUAAUGCAGCGACCUAUUCUCUUACAAAAGAAGCUCGACUAAUAGUGGAAGAGCCUGUUUUGACAAGGGAAAUUUAUGGUGUCAAAUAUCAUCUUGGUAACUCCAGGGUUUACGAUGAAAUAGUCCUCAUUGUAGCCAAGAAUUCAGCUUCUAACUUUUCCAACGAACCCGCCACUUUCGAUGUGAAGCUUUCAUAUACUGAUAUCAAAACUACAAAUUGGCAGAACUCAUUUUCACUGAAACUAGGUACGACAGCCACAAUGGAUUUCAAAAUUCCACUCAUUUUUGAGGGGAAGGUUGAAGUAUCGGGUGAAGUUCAAACAGGAAUCGAGUGGGGAGAGACCACUACAACGACCACUGUUGUGGAAGUUGUGUACAAAGUUACUGUGCCUCCAAUGACUAAGGUGAUCGUUUGCGUAAUCGCGACAAAAGGUAUAUGUGAUGUUCCCUUCACAUACAUGCAGAGGGACACUCUUUAUGAUGGGACCAGUGUCACAAAUGAAAUUGAAGGUGGCACUUACACCGGUUCUAAUUACUACAGCACCAACUUUGAUACCAAAGAAGAGGCACUGGAGUGAGGCAGAGCCAUAUAUGCAAAAUUCCAUUGGCUCAUAUGCUGAGAUUUACAGUGAAAGAUUGUGUGUGUGCGCGCAUAAAAUAAAUUCGUGUUUCCUUCAUGGAAGCAUGCAUGUCGCUUCUUACUAUAUCUAUAUGUCGUUUGGUGUGUCAAUGUGUGUUGCAUAAAAUAAAAUCAUGUUUCCAUCAUGGAAGCAUGCAUGUUGUUUUCUUACAAUAUGUACUACCUGCAUAGCUCAGUGGCAUUAUAUUUCUCACAGGCAGAAAUAAUAUAUGAUGUUUUUAUGUGUUUUAGGAUAUAACACUUGACCAAAACAUAAUUGGUUUUGGAUUUUAUUAAAUAAACUUUAAUGUUGAAUCAAUAGGUUACCGAUAGAUCAAAUACAAAUUUCUAAACAUCUAAACUUAUUAGUGGACCAUUAUUAAUCAUUUACGGUCAAGUAGCCAAAAGGGAGAAUGAAAAUUUUUUCAUUUAUACUCUUUAUAAUUUAUAAAAUUUUAAAUUAGUAAUGGUAAAAUUAUAUUUUGAAUCCCUAAAAACAAUAAUAAUUUAAUUUAAUUUUUUUAAAAAUUAUAAAGAUAUAAUCUAUUAAAUUGAUAAAAUUACAUUUUUAUUAUAAUAAAAAUAUAUAAUUUAAUUCCAAUAUCUAUUUUUUUUUUCUCACUCCACCACUAAUCAUUUAAUAACAUUUUUAUAUUUAUCCUUAUUUGCUGGAAACUAUUGGAAUUGUGUCAAUGUGGAUACCAUAUUUCUUUUAAUUGAUGGACCAUAUUGUGUUUUCUUUUAGAUAACAUUAAGUGACAUGCUAUGUAUUGUAAAAUUGUAAUUAAUAUUAUUUUCGAGAAGUAAUGAAUUCAUUAAACUUUUCAAGCUGAUAAUGAAAUAAUCUUUAAUUAUAGUUGGCAUUCAUUAAUAUUUUUGGCAUACAUUAAUGACAAACUUUGUAUUUAAAAGAAUAGGCUAUGGUAUACACUACAAAAUUUAGUGGCUACAAGAUUUGAGGAUGUAUGGGUGUGACUUGUAUUUAUUAGAUCAUGUUUUGUAGGUAUUUAGAAAUAUGUUUGAUAAUUUAUUAAAGAAAAGGUAAAAUAGAGGCGUCGUUGCAACGACGCAAUGAAACCCCAAACAAAUGUGACAGUGUCGUCGUGACGAGCAUGCAUGGGAUGUCACAAUGUCACGAGAUUUUUUCAAGUUAUGCAGUUGCGUAUUAGACUUCAAGUGGGACUGUUUUCCCCAGUUGGACUUUGAUUAUUUCAGAGAUAUGUUAGUCUGAUUAGAACUCUAAUCUAAGCCUAUUUAAAGGAUCAUUGUAUCCCUGUUUUGACAUGCUAAUCAACUAAGGUUUUUCUCUUUGAGGGCGAUAAGAUGUAGGCGCAUGCGAAUUUUUUUGUAAGAGUUUCGUGGUAACUAUAAAAAGAAUUUUGUUCCUAAGUUAGGAUUUUGUUUUCGGAGUUUGAGAUUGUACGUUUAGUACUUUCAGGUUUAUUUUCUUCAUAUUGUACUCUCGUUUGUUUACUCAUUUAGUGAGGAGUCGAUACAUCCUUUGCUUGUGUUUUUUCCCUCUUUGAGAGUUUUUCACAUAAAAUAUUUGUAUUCGUUCUUCUCUACUUUUCUUAUUAAUUGUUUAUAAAGAUUGAUCCCAAACAAGAAAAUUUAAAUCCAACCUUGUUCGCCUUGGGCACUCCCUGACCCGAUACAACCCAUCACAUAAGAAACAACUGAAGGAUCCCUGUUUGCCCUUUCUCAUAGUUGUCACGGUCUUGCUCUUCCUUUGGUGUGCAUUCUGUUAGAGUAACUAAUAAAACUAAUAAGUUAGUUAAUAGCAGUUAGCAGUUAAGAGUCUGUUAAGCAGUUGGCAGUUAUCUCUAUAUAACGUGCAUACAUGGAAGUAAGGUUUUUUACAACAGUUUUACAUCUCAUAAUUCACUUCUUGAUUCAAUAUAGAAGUUGUACUGAAUGUUUAACAUGGUAUCAGACUGCCAUUGAUCCUUGGCGAAUUGGUUUUCUGUGGCCUUCAUGUCUUGGCCCUCCAGUCCAUCUGCAGUUCAGUCCGGCACAUCUCCGAUAGCUUCCAGCCUGCCCGAUGGUAUGGUUGAUAGCAGAUUUCUCUCUACUAAAAAGAUUAAUGUCCUUCUUGAUGACACUAAUUAUCUGUUAUGGAGUUAACAGAUUUUUUUGGUGAUCAAAACUUUCAAGCUUUAGCAUUUUUUAGAUUUCUGAACUGUUGCUUCCCCGCAGUUUCUUUCCGAUGCUGAUGGAGUACUUUAAGAAAAUGUUGACUUUAUUGGGUUUGAGCAAUAAGCUAGUGCUCUUGCGUCUUGGCUUCUGUCUUCUGUAAGCCCGAGGGUUCUUCCUCACCUUAUUGGUUUGGACACCAGCGCUCACAUUUGGAAUUCCAUUGUUGUUCUCCAUUGAAGCAAAACCACGUCUCGCCUGAUGUUCUAUAGGCGUGCUUUACACUCUCAGAAAAAAGGUGAGUUGUCUAUGUGUGAUUUUUUAGUAAUGAUUAAAGGAUAUUGUGCUAGUCUUGCCAGUUGUGGAGAGUCUAUUAGUGAACAUGAGCAUGUCACGGCUAUCCUAAAUAGGCUGCCCUUAAAUACGAAUCUGUGAUCACUAUUAUUGUUGAAACCAAUUUUUAAAGGGAUGUUUGAAAAAUGGGGAUCGACUUUUGAAAAACGAAAACGGGAGUCGCCACCAACCUUUUUAGGUGUGAUUGGAUCACCUUAUAAAACGUUUUGGUCUACAAAAAUUAAGAAAACAAGUUCGGGAGUCGGUUACGUACGAGGAAGGAUUAACACCCUCGCAACGCCUAAAAUUGGUACCAAAUUGAAUAGUUUUUUGUCUUAAUGUCAAAAAUUUGAAAGGAUUUAAAAAUAGGAUCCCUUUUUUAAAACCAGAAUUAUUUAAGUUGAAAAAUCGAGAUUCCUUAGCUCCGAAAGAAUACAAACAUCACAUCUAGCAUGAUAGGACACGAUAUUCUUAAACUCUCGUAACUGAAAUCAUCUUGUGAUUUACAAAAUCUAUUUAGAAGGAUACUUUAGGCAUUUAGACAAACGAAAAAUCGCAACCGAGCAUGUUAGGACACUAUUUCCCGAAUUCCUAAAUACGAAAAACAUUGCCUCAUUUUAGAAAAACUUUUGGAUAAAAUAUGACAAUUAAAUGAAAUAUAUUUUUUAAAAAAUAAUGAUUUGAAUAAAAUUUAAAAAAUAAUUUACUAAGAGUAAUACUAAAAAAUAUAUUAAAAAAUGAAAGAGUUUUGAUAUGAUACUAAAAUUAUUUUAAAAAAAUUAAAAUAUAUAAAAAAAUCAGGGAAACAUGGAUUAAAUCAAAAUAAAAAGGGUUGAAAAACGAAGAUGAACAAAGAAUAAAAUAAGAACAAACCGUAGAAAAUAAGAACGUAAGAGGGAAAGAAAUUUGAGUGAAAGCUCUAAAAAAUUUUUAUUGUUUCCCAAAACUCCAGUGUGUUUGCAAUGAAGGGAGAGGCCUCUAUUUAUAGUUGAACCUCCUCAAAUCCAACGGUACAGAUCAAUUACAUCAACGGUUAAGAUUAAAAGGUAUCUACAAAUUAAAUCUCUAAGAUUACAAAAUCAUAUCUUCUAAGAUUGCAUAUCAUAUCUAAGAUUGCAAUCAUAUCUAAGAUUGUAUCAUAUCUAAGAUUGCAUAUCAUUGAAGAUUAUAUUUCCAUAUGAGUCAAGCUUGUAGAUGGACCUUAAAUCUUUUCAAGCAAUGGGCCAUUCCGAUCGGGCCAAAUUAUAUUUGUAAUUCUGGACUGAACUUGGACUUCAUUUUUUUUUUGGACUUAUUUCUGGGCCCAGGCAAAAUUGAGUGUCUACAGCUGCCCCUCUUUGCUCAUUGCUGUGUAACAGGAAUAGAGCAAAUGUAAUAGCCUGAAUUUCAAUGAUGUCGAAAAUAGUGGUUCGAGACCAUCAAAUCUGAAAAAUGAACUCGUAGAUUAUAUUAUUUAAUAUUUACGAGCCAAAUGUAGUUUUUAAAAGAUUUUUGGAAUAGUAAAUUGUGUUUUAUAAAGAUUUAUUUGGUCAAGAAAUUGAUAAAAAGAAGUAUCGAGAUCUCGAUGUUAUAAACCGAGCCAUAAAUAUUUUUAUAAAUAUUUACGGAAUGUCAAUAAGGUAGUAUUAAAAUUUCGUUAGAAAAUUUUGACAUUUGGGUGGUCAAUUAAAUAAAAAGGAUUAAAUUGGAAAAUGUGUAAAAGUUGCUAAAAGGAUUAAAUAGCUCAAUUGUCAAAUGAGGAAGGACCUAAAGUGAAAAUAAGCCAAAAGGAGAUAUUUCGGGCAAUAGCUGAGAAAAAUCAGGAAAUGAGUGAAAUAAGGGCAAAAUUGGAAAAUUGUCAAAAUUAGCUAAAUAAAAAUGGGACUAAACUGGAAUAUCUAGAAUUCUCUUCAUUUCUCUUCAUAUUCAUCAGCUGAAAAACAGCCAUGGAAGGGGGUUCAAGUUGGUUUUCAUGCUCUACCUUCAUGUAAGUUUAAUUCUUGCUUUCUCCUUGAAAUUUCUAUUUUUUUGAAAUUUUACAAUUGGGUCCAACUUACUAUUUCAUUAGUUUUUGAUUCCAUGGCUAAUUUUUAAAGUUUUUAUGGAUGAGUGCUGAAAUAAUAUGAUGAAUAAUCAUAGAAUUGAAGCUUUAAUUUUGGUAUAUGAUGAUUUUAUCAAGUAAAAUUGAUGGAAAUUCAUUUUAGGACCUAAUUAAGAAAGAGUUUGGAAUUAAUGUCUAAUGCUAAAGUUCUGAUUUUUAGGGGUUAUGAAGAAGUUUAAAAUGAUAGACUAAAGUAUUAAUUGAAAAAAAUUAGCUCAAUUGAGGGGUUAAUUGAGCAAGGCCUGAAUUGUAUAAACUGUGAAAUUUGGGGCAAAAUGGAAAUCAACAUUUUUCACUAAAACUGUUUUGGACAGCAGCAGUAUUGUAACUUUGAAAAUCACCAAAAAUUAUAGAAAUUGAAUUAGAGGAUGAAUAAAAUAUGAAAUUAAAUCUUAUUGAGUCUAGUUUCUUAUAAAAGAAACUAUGUAAGUAAUGGAAUUGUGAAUCAUGAGAUAUAAUAAAUUUUAUGAUACAAGGUCAGAAGGAUUUCGGGUUCCCCUGUUUUGACUUUGGAAAAUCAUAAAAAAUUGGAUAAAAAUAAUUAGGGGCUUAAAUUUAUAUGUUUAGAAUCCUUAAUGAGCCUAUUUUCCAUAGAAACAAACGACAACAUCAUUUGAAUCUUGUACGAGGAUAUAAUUAAUUUUUAGUGAAAAAGAGUCGGAACUGUUAGACAGCAGAACAGGGGUAACUUUAAAGAAUAAACUGUACUUAUUGGCUAAACCAAAAAUUCUGAAAAUUUUAUGGUAAGAAGAUAUAUGAGUCUAGUUUCAGAAAAAAUUAUCGGAUCUUAAUUUGGAAUUAUAUAGCUCUAGAUAUAAAUAAUUUAGUGACUAUGACACAGAUGGACAGCUUGAAUAUUCAUAAAAGUAAAUAAUAAAAAUUAUAGAUGAUGUUACUUGCAAGUGUGUUAUAUACAUUAAGCAUGGCUAAUUUGCUUGUUUUAGGCUUAAGGACUAAAUUAAAUAAAAGUAAAACUUCAAGGGAAAUUUUGUAAAAAUGUCAAAAUGACCAAAUUGAAGGGAAUGAAUUGUUUUUAUUAUCUAAAUUAAUAAAUUGAAUGAAAUUGUCAAUUUAAUAUCGGGUGAAAAUUGGGAAAAUGGUAAAUUACCAAAAUGUCCCUAAAUCUUGAUAUUUCUACAAUUUUGCUAGGUAAGUUUAUGUAACUUGAAUUAUAUUCUUUAAUGCUUAAAAUAUAUGUUAUUGAUGUGAACAUGAUUUGAAUGUUCAUUGUAUGAAAAUUGAUGAAACAUUGAUAUAUUUGAUAAAAUGAGAAGAAAUCCCGGUUGAAUGAAAGGAAAUUUCGAUGGAUCUCUGAAAAGGAAUUGGCGGUAAAAAGGGUCUAGCCCGGACGGGUGAUCCUAUCCUGAUAUAGCCCUCCCGAAGAAUAUUUGGAAAAUGGAUUUAGCCCGGACGGGUAAUCCGAAUUAGGGUCUGAAUUUAGCCUGGACUGGUAAUUCAGAUCCAAGCUCAUUAGAGUAAUUGUCGUUGCAGGGGAUUUAGCCUGGACUGGUAAUCCCGACAAUACUCUAUGAGUUUAUAUUAUAGGGGAUUUAGCCUGGACUGGUAAUCCCACUGUAAGGAUGAGGUUCGCGGGAGUGUGCUCUCUGAUAUGGAAUGUGUAAGACCAUGGUUGAAAGAUACCAUGGCAACCUGAUAUGAAAUGUGUAAGACCAUGGUUGAAAGAUACCAUGGCAACGUGAUAUGAAAUGAAUAAGACCAUGGUUGAAAGAUACCAUGGCAACCUGACAUGAAAUGAGUAAGACCAUUGUUGAAAGAUACCUUGGCAACAUGACGGGAAAAUGAAUAAGACCAUGGUUGAAAGAUACGAUGGCAACAUGACAGAAAACGAGUAAAAUCAUAGUUGAAAGAUACUAUGACAUCAUGUCGAAGAUAAAUAAGAUCGAGGAAGAGAAACGCCAAGAUAUCUAUUGAACAAUCGAUAUUCAGGUAAUAUGUAUCAGAUGGAAUGGUUAUAUGAAAUGGUUGUGUGAAAUGUUUACAGGAAUUGGUCAUAUGGAAAUAUAUGUACAAAAUAGUUGUAUGAAAUAAUUAAGAAGAUAGAUAAAUGAAAUAAGUAUAGGUACAUGGAAUUUAAUUUAUGUUAAGUUUAAUACGAACUAUUACCGAAAUAAAUAUAUACACGAUAUUAGGAAAUGAUGGUGCAUGAAAUAUUGAUAUAACGAAAUUAAUGAUAUAUGCUUAUGAAGAAACAGUAAGAGAAUAAUAAAUUUUGUGACAUGUACAUAUAUAAUUAUCUUUGAUAUGUUGAUACAAGGAAAUUAUGUAAGUUGAGACUAUUAUUAAACUCAAGUGUGAUAUGUUGAGAAAAUAGGUAUAUGAAUGUUGAAUUUAUAUGAAAUAUGUGCAAGUAUACUAACAAUGUUGUUGUUUGACGCUUAGACAAGUGCCAAGUUAUUGAUUGACUGGUAACAUGUUUAAUUAUAAGGAGCAUUGAAAUGGUAAGUACUUAGAUGAAAAUAUAAUUUAAGAUUUUGUGAAUUUUUUUUUAUGAUCUCAAUUUUAUUCUAGUUGAUUUCUAAUGUAUGUUUUGGGCUUCGAGGGCCCAAUAGAGAGAUGUUAUGAUUAUUUCAAAAUAUGAAUAAUAAAUGACUCAAAAUUAUCUGAAAAUAUUCAGUAAACUCCGGUAAUGCCUCGUACCCUAUUCCGGCAAUGAAUACAGGUAGGGGUGUUACAGCAAAGACUAUAAAAGGACCAAUUUUGCCUGGGCUCGCCGAGUCUUGAUUUCUUGAUCCUUGAUCUUCUUUAAAUGGCCUCUUGACGGCUUCAAUCUGCUUCACUGCAACUUAGGAAGGCGAUAUCUACUAUCUUUGAUCUGCUUCCCGUCUAAUACAGAGACGCCAAAUCUGUUAUCUUUGAUCUGCUCCUCGUCUAAUACAGAGAUGCCAAAUUUGCUUCUUCAAUCUGCUCCCCUUCUAAUAAAGAGAUGCUAAAUCUGUUAUCUUCGAUUUGUUCCCUGUCUAAUACAGAGAUGCCAAAUCUGUCAUCUUGGAUCUGCUUCGAUGUAAACACAUGAAGGUCAGAUCUGCUAUGUCUUCGAUCUGCUCCCCGUCUAAUACAGAGAUGCCAAAUCAUCUUGGAUCUGCUUCAAUGAAGGUCCAAUCUGUUAUGUCUUCGAUCUGCUCCCCGUCUAAUACAGAGAUGCCAAAUUACAUUGGAUCUGCUUCAAUGAAGGUCAGAUCUGCUGUGUCUUCGAUCUGCUCCCCGUCUAAUACAGAGAUGCCAAAUCAUCUUGGAUCUGCUUCAAUGAAGGUCAGAUCUGCUGUGUCUUCGAUCUGCUUCCCGUCUAAUACAGAGAUGCCAAAUCAUAUUGGAUCUGCUUCAAUGAAGGUCAGAUCUGCUAUGUCUUCGAUCUACUCUCCGUCGAAUAUGGAGAUGCCAAAUCUGUUUCUUCGAUUUGUUCUUUGACAGUACAGAAAUGCCAAAUCAUCUUAGAUCUGCUUCAGUGUAAACACGUGAAAUCCAAAUCUACUAUGUCUUCGAUCUGUUCCUUGUCAACGCAAGGAUGCCAAAUCAUCUUGGAUCUACUUCGAUGUGAAAACAUCCGAAGGUUAGAUCUGCUAUGUCUUUGAUCUGCUCUCCGUCAAAUAUGGAGAUGCCAAAUCUGUUCUUCGAUUUGUUCUCUGACAACACAGAGAUGUUAAAUCAUCUUGGAUCCGCUUCAGCGUAAACACCUGAAGGUCAAAUCUGCUAUGCUUUAGCCUGUUACCCUACUGCUUGGGGGGUUAAGGCGCAUCAAUCUUCAUUGUCCCUUGAAGUACAUAACCUGUAUAAUGUGUAUGAGUUCAUGCCUAAUGAUUAGGAUGCUAUGAUCGAAGUAAGUCAAAUGCUCCUAAUUAAACCUGCUAUAAUGUAAAAUGUUUAUGAAUAUGACCCCUAUUCCAGACGUCACCACUCAUUCUUUCAUCGAAGUUUAUCCUUAUUUCUCUCGAAGUAUCAUUCCUACUCAGCCUGUGGGUUUGUACCAUUCUUCAAAUGCUAUGACCCACCAAAAAUGUCUGUAAGAUGAUCCCCUCUUAGGAUCGAAUCAUUUGAUUUGUCCAAUCAUCAUUUUGGACUAAAGAAAGAAUUUCCUCAAGUUCUUUCAAACCUCACUUACGUGAAUUCUUCGAACAAUUGUUCUGUUUUAGUUUCUUGUAUUAUCUAGAAAUUUUCAGAGUAAUGAGCAAAACUUCAUUUGUGAAAAUUAUUUAGUUCAUCUAUCAUUAUUUUAAUGCAACAUACUUUAAGAAUAAUGGAAGAUGAGUUUAAUCUUGAGAAUAAUUAGAUUUGAAUAAAUUUGUCAAAAAUACAAAGGAAAUUAAUCUGAAAGCCUAUCUUUGAGAAGAAAAAGAAUCUAAAGAUAGCAAACAAGACAAAAGUUAGAUGCCCUAGAUAUCGCCGCUUGAGCGUUUAUAUGCCAGCUCCAUGAAGACUUUCUUGAAUUCAACAUGUGUUUAAAAGAUCUAAAGUACUUUGUUGAUGCCCCGAUAUGCAACGCGCUUUACUCUUCGUUGAAUCAGAUAUAGCAAGAUUACCAUGUGCUUUUCAAAAUUUGAGCUGCCCUUUCGGGUUUUCAACUCAAAACCCCUUUGGUCACAAGGCGCCCUUUGCGGGUUUUCACCUUGGCCUCUCUAUUUUUUUUCGAAAACUCAAGGCGCCCUUUGCUGGUUUUCACCCUGAAUUCUUCUCUCCUUUAGACAAAGUACUUUUUGACUGAGUCUGAAUUCACUGGAUUGGGCAAACUCUUCCCAUCCAUUUCCGUUAAGAUCAAUGCACCAUCAGAGAAGGCUUUCUUCACGACAUACGACCCUUUCCAAUUUGGCAUCCAUUUUCCUCUAAAGUCCUUUUGAAUAGGGAGGAUCUUUUUCAGCACAAGAUCCCCCUCGUAGAAUUCUCUUGGUCGCACUUUCUUGUCAUAAGCUCGUAUCAUUCGCUUCUGAUACAUCUGACCAUGACGAAUGACCUUUAGCCUAUUUUCCUCAAUCAAGUUCAACUGAUCAUAUCGCGAUUGUAUUCAUUCAGCUUCAUUCAAAUUUAUCUCUGACAAGACUCGAAGAGACGGUAUUUCCACUUCAAUGGGUAACACUGCUUCCAUCCCAUAAACCAACGAGAAAGGAGUUGCCCCGGUAGAAGUUCUGACAGACGUUAGGUAAGCUAAGAGUGCAAAUGGUAACUUCUCAUGCCAGUCUCUGUAGGUUUUAGUCAUUUUCCCUACUAUCUUCUUGAUGUUUUUGUUAGCAGCUUCCACUGCCCCAUUCAUCUUUGGGCGAUACGGCAAAGAGUUAUGAUGCUUAAUCCUGAACUGACUGCAAACUUCUGCUAUCGUUUUGUUGUCCAAGUUCAGUGCAUUGUCUGAUAUGAUCCUUUUAGGCAUCUCAUACCGACAAAUAAUCUCUUUCUUCAAGAAACGACUUACAGCCGACUUAGUAACAUUCGCAUAAGAAGCAGCCUCUACCCAUUUCGUGAAGUAAUCAAUGACCACAAAAAUAAAGGUGAUAUUGGCCCAAUGACAUCCAUGCCCUACAUAGAAAAAGGCCAUGGAGAAGUCAUAACGUGUAGAGGUGAAGGUGGUACAUGAAUCUUGUUUCCAUAAAUCUGACAUUUAUGGCAUUUUUUGGCAUAGUUGAUACAAUCCCCUUCUAAAGUAGACCAAUAAUAUCCAAACCUCAUGAUUUGUCUAGCCAUCAUGAACCAAUAACACCCUGGUGAACUUCUUCCAAGAUUAACUUAGCUUCCACAGCGUCAGCACAUCUCAACAGUACUUGGUCUGUAAGACCCAAUUUGUGCCCGAGCUUACAUCAAAACCAAAACCCAAACCAAAAAAUAAAACAAAAAAAAUAUAAAAAUAAUAAAACCAAAAUAAUUUAAAAGUCCAUUAGUCCAAGAUAGUCCAUGACUCAAUAAACUUAACCCCUUAGCCCAUUACAUUAAACCCAAACACUAAAUAUUAACUCAAUAGCCCAACAUCCAAUGGCCCAAAACUAAAAUACAGCUAAAUUUUUGGCGAACUCUAGCCAACAGUCAGUGCCGCAAACGCCAUCAGCAGCCCAACGUACGCGUGCCACGCUCCACGCCUACGAACGGUUUCACCAUAACCUCCACACCUGUAAUAGAUUAAUAAGCAAAAACAGAAAGUAGCAAGUUGACAGCAGAUUACAGCAAAUUACAGCAAAGAAAUCUAUUUCUUUUUCCUUUUAUUUUAUUUAUUUUUCGGCUAUAAAAACCGAAGGAAAAUGAUGUAAAAGGGGAUGGAAUGGAGGCACACGGAGAAAAGCAUAUUGAAAAGAAAAAUUCAAAAGCAUUUUUUAAAGGUGAUUUUCGAUUUCCUAGUUGCUUUAGUUUUCCGUUGAAUCUUCUCACUUUCUUUUUCAAUUUUUCGUUGUUGUAUUUAAAAGCAAAGGGAAAAGGAGAAAAGGGACGAUACCUUGUGAUUUGGCCAUCGGUUCACUCUUGCUUCGUCGAAAUCGAAGUUUAAGGGGAUCUUGAGGCUAAAAAACACCCUUCAAGGCUUGAAUGAACCGAUCGCUGUUCAUGGAGGUUGAUUGGAGUUUGAAUGAAGGGAUUUUGGGAAUGGUUGAGGGAGAAACAAAGGGACUGGAGAUGAGAAUCGGCCAAACGAGAAGAAAAGUAUGGGGAAAUAAAAAGGGGCUAGGGUUAUUUUAAAAGGGGCUGAUUGUUUUCUUUGUUUUUUAAAGGAAAUAUGUGGUUUUAUAAAAGUGAAGAAACAACACCGUUUCAAAAGGGAAAUGUUUGGUUAUUUUUUGUAGAUGGUCAAUUUGCUCGAUUGGUCCCCUUCUUUCGCGUUAGCACGCGAUCAAGCCUACUUCAGAUUUCUUUGUUUUUUAAUUUUGCCCGCAAAAUUUGUGCGCCAAUUCAAUUGGAUCCGCGCUUAAGCAUUGCAUUUUGAUAUUCGGAUUAUUUACAUUUUCAAUCGUUGUACGUUCACACGCAUUGCAUUUUGACCCUUCUUUUUCUGUUUUAAUGAUCUAUUUUAUUUGUUAAUUGCCCCCUUUCAAUUUGAUUUUAUCUCAAUUAAGUUUUAUUUCAAUUUGUAUGCUUCAUUACUGUUUUUUAGAAAUUCACUUUAACAUUCAUCUCUUAAUUUUAUUUUUUUUAUGUGUACAUUUUGAAGUGUCUUGAUAGGUUUUUUUUCUCUCUUUUUCAAAUUUUUUUAAAUUCCUUUUUAUAUUAUAUCAUUAUAACAUUUUGCAUAAUAUUUUAUACGUUAUUAUAUAUAUAAUUUAUGAUGAAGUUGAUUUUAUUCUGUGUAUAUUAUUAGUAUUAUGUUAUUUG